CAUAUAACAAAUCACUAUGGGCGCAAUGACACCGAUGGGGAGUGGGCGUUUCUGGGUGGGGGUUGCAGGGAUUGGAUAGAAAGAAGACAAUAAACUUGACUACACCUUGUUUUCCUUAUUUCCAUUAGAGAAGUCAUUUUUCUCAUUGUCAAGGAACUUGUUUGUCAAGCGAACAUUUUGACCAAUUAGGAAAAUUGGAAAUCAAACACGCCUUGUGUCUGAAAAUUUUACUAGAUUACAACCACUAUGUUGUUUGAUCAUAGCAGAGAAGAACUGCUAUUGCAUAUAUAAAAUAAUUUUUUUUUUUUUUUUGUAAAAUAAGCUUAGCAUGUGUAAAGGUUUUCUUAUAUGUUUAUGAACUUAUAUGGCUUCUAUCAUGGCUUAAAACACCAAUUCCCUCUUUGAAGAUAAAAGAAAUUGCAGUUUUCUGCCCUCUAGCUGUAAAACUCUCGAUAGAGUUGCGGAGGAUACAAAUGAUAGAGACCAAAGGUCUUGGCUCUGUGCGAACUUGUUGGUUAUGAUAUUCAUUGGAUGGAUAUCUGAGUUUUAUGUGGACUCAUGAGUUUGUUCAUAAAGUUGCAAUCUAGUGUUGCUUGGACUCUUCAAAAUGUCGAUGGGUGCGUAUAUUGGACUCCAAAAGUAGUGCAUUUUGGAGAAUUUGACAUGGAUGCAGACACAUUUUUGGAGAGUUCGAGCAACAUAGAUUGGAAGCAAGUGAGAGAAGUUGAUUUAUCACAUUUCCAUAUUGUUGGUUCCCUUUGAGUAGAUACUGCUUAGUAAGCAAUAUGUGCCAUAUUGACCUAUUUUCUAGAGCUUUAACUGUUAUUUAUAGUUUUGGGAGAUUGAAUUUCAAACUAUUAUGUUGGCCUUACACUUGCUUUGCUGAUGCAGUACACAGACCUCAAGCGAUUCUUCCUGUCGCCGUUCUUCCACGUAAAUGAAUCUCACCUGGUGUACAAUAUGCUUUCACUUUUGUGGAAGGGUAUUCAACUGGAGACAUCGAUGGGUAGUGCAGAGUUUGCAUCAAUGGUUGCAACCUUAGUUGCUAUGUCCCAAGGUGUUACACUGUUGCUUGCAAAAUCACUUCUGCUGUUCUUUGAUUACGAGAGACCCUACUAUAAUGAAUACUCUGUGGGUUUUUCUGGUGUCCUCUUCGCCAUGAAAGUUAUCGUCAAUUCACAAUCAGAUGAGUAUACCUCUGUACAUGGACUUAUGGUUCCUACUCGUUAUGCUGCCUGGGCAGAGCUUGUUCUCGUACAAAUGUUUGUCCCUGGUGUCUCAUUCCUUGGCCACCUUGGGGGAAUACUAGCUGGCCUUCUGUAUUUGCAAUUAAAAGCGUCAUAUUCAGGUCUGAAUCCAGUUAGACAAUUCAUGAGAGGUUUUAGCCAUGCUCUGAGCUGGCCUUUAAGAUUAGUGAAGAGCUUAUUUCGACAUCGACCUAGAAUUACUGGGAGAGGAACUGCUGGUGCGAGGAUUGCACGAGAUACACUUCAUACGUGGAGAUGUGAUGCAUGUACAUUUGAUAAUUCAGGUAGGCUGAACGUUUGUGAAAUGUGUGGCACAGGUCGUACCGGUGAUGCACCAUCAUCCCCUGGUUCAACAAGUGAGAUACAUGAUCUAUCUUUGGAAGAAUUAAGACGUAGGAGGAUUCAACGAUUUGGUAGAUAAUAAGGCAAAUUGUUAUCAAGUUUAGAUGGAACUGUUUUAGCAUAAUCGCAUUCUUGUGUAUAGUCCAUAUGGGGCCUUGGCACCCAUCAAUGCACGGUGUUCAUCAGACUCGUGUUAUUUUAGACGAUGGAGAUGGAGAUGUUAUUGACUGAAUUUAAUAUUGGUUUAUGUAAGGGAUGGAGAAAAUUGCUGAAAAUCAAACAAUCAUCCAAUAUUUGCCUUAUAUAAGACAGUGAGAUUAUUUAGCUGUAAUGUUCAUAGGUAAUAACCAUAAAUGGAUCCAUGCAAUUAGACAAUAUUUAUGUACCUAAAAGAGCUAGGUAUAUCGAAGUCAUGUGUGUUGGUUUGUUGGUUUUGUUAAAUUGAUACUUCAUUCAAUUCAAAAUAAGUAGCAUUUACUUCAUUCAAUUCAAAAUAAGUAUCGUUUUUCUAUUCAUUUUAUCUCAAAAUAAGCUUUAUCUGUAAUCAAGAAGACAUUAAUGGUCUUCUUUCAAUUUUACUCUAAUUUGAACCAAGUGAGUUCAUCAUAAUUCAUGAACUACUUUCUCUGUUCACUAUUAUAUCUCCAAUAUGAAGUUUGCACCCGCUUAAAAGAAAAAUAUAGAUAUAUAAUUAUUCUUUUAUUUGCAAAUAAACACGUAUCAUACAUGUAUCAUACAUGACAAAUUGCAUGAGAUAUACUUGUGUACAUCAAAUUACAUGAGAUUGGGAAUUGGGGUCUAGUCUUAGAUUUGGUGAAUAAUUUGAAAAUAUAGGCUAGAAGCUGGAGAAAUUUAUAUAUUUUUCGUCUUAAAAUGCCUUUUUUGUUAAAGAGAAUUGGCAGCGCUUCUACAACGAAUCAAGCAGGUUCAGUAGCAACGGAUAACGGCCCUCACCUUAUCGGACUUUGCUUUUUCAGGCUCCAGACUAGAGAAGAGCUAUUCCAUAUCAGCAACUAUGCUAGCUCACGAUCGAGUAGUAAAGACAUAAAGAGAAUUGGCAGCGCUUCUACAACGAAUCAAGCAGGUUCAGUAACGACGGAUAACGAUACUCACCUGAUCGGACUUUGCUUUUUCAGGCUCCAAGCUAAUGAAGGGCUAUUCCAUAUCAACAACUAUGCUAGCUCGCUAUCGAGUAGUAAAGACAAAGGGAAAGGUUGGACAACAUUGUGUGUUCCAGACCUGAUUGAGAAAGAGCGCAUGUAUGUUAUACGUGGAACCGAGUUCGCACUCCCAUGUUUUUAGCUUAACAGUAAGUAAAAGUGAAAUAAGUAGUUAACAUAGAAGUGUUCAAGCUAAAAAGGGUACUUAUUUUGAACUGAAAUGGAGGGAGUAGUUGCAAAGACAAGAGACAUUGAACUCUUUGCCUACCAUUACUCGAUUAAAGACUUUAAAAGCAUGAAGUUCUUUUUAUUUGUUAAGUGUAUUUACCUUGAAUGUGUACUUCACCUAGAAUCCUAGACCUAAAACCUGGUAAAAUCUUCUAAUCUUGUAACAUUAGUUCUUUAACUAUUGCAUUGUGCAUUUCUUAACAGGCAGAACUGCUACUGCUGUCUCAAAUGCGCAAAUAAAAACAUGAAUCACAUUGAUAAAGUAUUAAAGAUGAGCAGAUUAAGUACCAUAAGUGAAAUUCAAGAACUGCGAAAGAAAGCCAGUAGAGGUAAUUAAAAACAACAGAAGAAACUCAGUAUAUUGAGUUUGGAAGAGACGUUCCUUUGGAAACAGGAAAAAGAACCACGGGAAUGGAACUUAGAGCAUUUAUAAAUGUUAGUGAUUUCAUAAUGUGCUGUCUGAAUAAUCUACCACAAUCUUCCCGGAACUUUGUCAUGCCUGUCAAUUGUUGCAGAAUUCGACUCAAAGCUAGCAGCUUUUCCUCAACGUUCUAGAUCCACUUCACUCGCACCAGUCAGAAUAUAAUUCCACCAAUGAUAAUCUCCAUUGAUGAUAACUUUCUUAGCCUAUUAUUAGAGCAAGGUUGCAAUGUAGUCAUUUUUACAACAUAACAGCAGCACAUAGGACACAGAACCUUAAAUCACAAAGAUCUUGUUUCCAUGGAUGCACAACCUAGUAUGGAGCCAAAUGCAGGCUCACACAUUGGUCUAAUCUCCCUCCACCUUAAAGGUAAACUCAGUGGGUUGCACACUCUAACUGUGCUCAACUUCACAAUGUUAAACUUCCCGGUCCCAGAUUCCUCCCAUCGCAGCACUCUUCCUCCCAAAACAUAAAUUUCAUUUCUCAGUGCAACAAAUCCAUAAUCAAAGACCUCUAGAGGCCGGGGAUGGUCAGGUAGAACCACAGGAGGUACCAGUCCUCUACGAUGCCACUCCGUGUUAUCAACAUCCCUAGUUUCAAUGGCGCUCCCACCCCAAUCUACAACUGUGCAUAUAUGACCACCAUCAAGUACCUGAAUUCCCAAAUGCAUGGCCCUUGAAAACGGCCAAGUAUCAUUUACACUUAGCCAUGUUUCAUCGGAUGGAUCAAAAACAACAGAUGUCUCCUGCUCUAACAGCCCAACAAGGUCCGUUAAAACAUAAAAUUUACCAUUGUAUGGUAGGCCUAUGCAAUCCAUUUGGGGACUUGGCAGAGGUGGUAGGUCUUCCCACCUGCAACAUUUUAAAAUAUUAAGAAAAACAGUAUAGGAUAAAACAUAAACAUUCUUCUCUUAAAAUUCUGUCAAAUUAAAUAUCCGACCAUCCUUUUGCUUCAAAGAGAAAAACAGAGUAGAAGUUAGAAGCAACAAGGAAUCGUUUCCAAGAUAAAAUAACAAGGUACAUAGGUUUCUAAAGAACUACGACCCAACGGCAAAUGUAGUCAAAGCAUCAAAAUUUAUUUCCACUAGAUAUACGUUCCACUGAUACACAUUUUGAGUCCAUGUUUUCAUCACCCUUAUACUUGCAUUAACCUUUUCUUCUUAUUUUACUUUUAAAUUGGGAAGUGUUUUUCAUUUCAUAAAUAUAGUAUAUGUCGCAUAUGCCUCUUAAAAGCUUUUCUUAUAAAGUUUUUUGCUGCUUCAAAGAUUAAUGGAAGUACUGUUUUCUCUCAAAAAUAGUAUGCACAUUUCAAUUUACAUGACUACUUUUGAGAGAUUUAAGACCGAUUUUUGGAACUUGUGUUCUUUAACAUGCCAUGAGGUUUCCACGGCUACAAGAUGAUGUCAUUAAAGAAUAAAGAUAAUUUGAGAAGUUAAAAGUUAAAUUUUUUCCAACUUUAGAAAGACGGGCUGCACCCUAAAGUUGUCCGGAAAAGUCACUAACACACUUGUACUUUACGGGUGACCUACACACACCCACCCACACCCAAUCCUUAUUUGAAGUGGUGUUAUUUUCGCCGUAAAACAUACAAAGCCUGUCCCAUGGUACAGGGUGAUUCACAUGCACCUGCCAAAUCAGCAUUUUGGGUGGUAAUAAUUACAUUUUAAACAAGUAUAGAAGGGUAAAAGAUCACCCGUAAAGUAUGAGUGUGUGAGUGACUUUUUAGAACAAGUUUAGGGUGCAACUUGAUGUCUUUUCCCUUCUUUUUUUUUUGAUAGAUUAAUAAGGAAAUAGUGUUACAUAAAAUGAAACAUAUGUACUUGCUAAUAAAUAUGAAAUUGGAAUGCAGAUUAAGGAAAAAAAUUCUACCAUAUAUAAACUAUGACCUUGUAGGGUGUGGAGGUUGCACAUUAGGGAAGAAGGUUAGUAGGUGUGGAGUGUUGUCUUGAUUUUUGAGGGGUUUAGCUGUUUUCUUGUAGUUGUUCUGUUUUUGAUUACAUCAUCAUAUGUUUAUUCCGUUCAGCUUAUCGCAUUAUUUUGUGUUGCUCUUGUUUCCUUUAGCUGUUUUGUUUCUUCACUGUCGUCUUCCUUUUCAUUAUUCUAAUAUGUUAUACUCGGGUCGAGGGUCCUCCCGAAAUAGUCUCCUAACCUCCAAGAGGUAGGGGUAUAAUCUGUCCUCCCACCUAUGGGAUUCCACUGGAUAUGUUAUUGUUGAUGUUGAUCUUGAAAAGUUGCAAAAUUAAAUUUCCAUGAACAAAACUAUAAGUUACAUAGAUACUCCCAUAGAAAAUAAUUUGACAAGGAAAUGUAAUGGAACAAUGUAGAUUCAUUUUGACUGGAAAAAUUAAUUCUCAAAAUUGGCAACUAACCAGGAAGUUGAAACAAAUCUAGAAAUCCUAAUAUGUAAAAUUGUUUAGUGAACUACACGAAGGUGAUAAUUAAAAGCAAUUGGUUCCAACUUCCAUCACAUCAUUUCCAAGAAGGGAGUAAAAACAAUGAUUCCCACCUUAUUAACGGGUGUGAGUAAGAAAUUGAUCCAUCAAAUUGGCACCCCAAACGGGUGGAGGUCGCGGAUUAGGGGUGUGUAUCGAUUGAUUCAGCUCGAUUUUAAGUAUGAUCGGUUCGGUUUAUCGAUUUUUAAAUAUGUUAAACCAAAAAGCGAACCAAUAAGAUAUUUGUUAUCAGCUUUCGAUUUUAACUGAUAAGAAAAUACUUUCAAAACAAAUAUAUGAUUUGUCCAAUAAUUUUACGCACACAGGCAUACAUCGAAACAAGCAAAUCAGACUAAAUUGCAACAAUAAAGACUAAAGUAAUACUACAACCUAAAAGGUAAAUUCAGAGGCCAGAGUUGAGUAAUGUUAAUUGUGUAAGGUCCAUAUAUAUUAAUUAUAUUAAUAUUGUUGUUUUUUGUUUGAUAUCUAUGUAUGACUAAAAAUUAAAAUAGUAAUUUAUUAUAUUCUAAAUGGGUUAUCGGUUAACCCAAUAUUAGAAACCAAUAUCGAACCGUGUUUGUUGCAUUAUUAGUCUUAUAUAUUUCCUUUUCAAUUACUGAAUCAUUUCAUUGUUGUUACUCUUUCUUUUCAUUGAAUGCCAUGUGUUGCUUUCCUUAUUAAUUGGCAUGUUUUCUUCACUGUCACAUUCUUUUUCAUAAAUACUUUAAUCUGUUGCACUUGAGCCGAGAGUCUUUCGGAAACAACCUCUAUACCUCCACGAGGCAGAAAUAAAAUUUGCGUAUACUCUACCCUCCCAGACCCCAUUUGGGGGAUGACAUUGAGUAUGUUGUAGUAUUGUCAAAUGCGCGCUUAAGCCCGAAGUGAGGCUCAAAACAUGUUGAACGCUUUGCCUCACUUGAAGUACAUUUUAGUUUCGUCAUCAAUGUUCUAAGACAUACUUCUCUUUGCCAAUGAACCUCUUGUGAAAAGGAGACACUAAGCAAUUGAUAUUUCAUUUUAUCGUAUUUUUUUUUCAGUUUCUUUGUUCUUAUAUUUGUCAUUCACGCUUAUACUUAUUAGUCUAGGACUAAACAUAUAUAAUUGUAUUUGUUUCUCCCGUAACAAACUUUAGAGAUUUUUUUCUUUUGAUAACACUUGAUUGCUAUUGUUGUAUAGGCACCCUAAAGCGGUGUUACAAAGGGUAGAUACUAGUCCAUGAGGCAUAAAAUUCAAAUAAGUCGUCGUAGGCAAGAGACUACAUGGAUAGGGAAAAUGCCUAACAACACGACACAAGAGGGAUUAAAUAGAAACUAAAAUCAUUGUGAAACCAAGACAUAAGGAUAAAGUUGCAAAGUAAAGAGAUUCGACUAUUGCCAGGUAAGGGUAUUUUGUACGAACCAAUUUGGAUGGAGGACACAAUUUUACUAUUGCUACAUAUAGAUAAGAAAACUUAAACUAAAUGCUAGGAUGAUAUCAAUAACUUUGUCCAAUAGGGCCCAAAUGACCAAUAAAUCUUUAUAGGAGGAUAGUUGAAUAGUGAUGGUUCAUGUAAUAAUUGUUUUGAUCUAGUGCAUGGUUGGGGAUUUCCAUUAUUUGUUUUAAGGAAUGAAGAAGGAAACAACAGUGUUGAGAUAAGUGGGUGCUCCACCUUUUUAAGCGGUGACGUGAUGCGAAGGACAUGCGCUUCAAUGGCAUGAAGCUAGAGAGGAGCAGACGUGGGAACUUCAACCCCAAAAGUGCGGCGCGAGCAGAUACUCUCUCUAUUCUCCUUUUUUAUGUUUGAACUCCCUGGGCUCCAUUCCAAGUUUGUUGAGCCCAUCUUCUGAUGUCAUUACGAGUUGGAGCGUCUUCAGCUCUUGCAAAGCUCCCCACUAAGCAUCUGUCCAGCAUGCCUUUUUCCUAUGUCUCUCUUAGUCCAUUUGUUCUUGAAAAACAUUUCUUUGUAACUCUUCCCCCCUCUGAUUUGGUUAAGGAGUCUAGGUUGCUUGUUUGUGAUUAAUUUUGUACUACUACUUCCAUCAAUGAAAUUUUCUAUUUUGCUAUUAGAACAUUCCACCCCUCAUUGAAUGUGUUAACUGACAGGAUAAUUGCUGCUCUGACAUUUCCUUUAACAGUAAUUACUGAGACAAAUCUUCCAUAUUGAUUGAACUUUUGUGUUAAGAAAAUGUUGGUUGUGUUAUCUUUGCAUUUCCAAGACUUGAAGGUCUUUCCUUUGUUCUCCGAUGCCUCCUUGAGCCUUUUGCAUAUCCAAGACAUGGCUCCCUUGCUGAGUAUCAGUUUGCUCAUGUAGUAUCAUGCACUUCUGAUCCAAUCAUACCAAAUCCCUGAUUUGGAUUUAGAUUCUGUGAUUCAUAAGAUUUGGCCCCAAGGCGAAAGAGGAUUUUGUUGUCCAUGAAAAAAGUUGGGUUCUAGAUGGCUGCUCCGAUGGAGGAAGUCUACCAGAGAGGGGAGAGGCUGGGUCCAGAAGAGACCCUUCAAUUAAGGGUCAUUGCAAAUAUGCCUGGAAGCAUUUGUGGAGUGCUUGUAUUAAGAUCCUUGUGUGUUACUCUGAGUCUCUUUCCAUUGCUCUUACCCGGGGCUUGGCUCUAUCAUAAUGUCCUUCAUCACCCCAAUGUAUGCCAUUGAUACACCUCCAGCCUUAAGGCAUCUCCAUAGGACCUCCCCGACUUUAUCAUAUACAUUUUCUAGGUCAAUGAAUAUCAUAUAUAAGUCCCUUUUUCUCUCCAUUUACUCUCCCCCAGUCUCCUCACAACAUGAAUGCUUUCUAUAGUCGAUCAUCCAAUAUGAAUCCGAACCGGUUCUCAAAAAAAGACACACCCCUCCUCAUCUUCAUCUCCAUCACCCUUUCCAAGACUUUCAUAGUGUGGCUAAGCAGCUUAAUACCCCAUGAAUAUCAACUUGUAGUUAUGAAUCUCACCCUUGUUUCAGUACAACAGGAUCAUUGUACUCCACCCCCACUUUUCAAGCAUUUUGUAGUCUUAAAAUGAUAUGAACAGCCCCCCAUCAGCCAUUCCAAACCUUCUUGUCUUACCUGUGUUCUUCAAGAACUCCACCGGAAUCUCGUUUCCCCAAUCAUUCUUCCCAUGUUCAUCCUAGGAAUAGCUUAACCUCAUUAAUCUUUAUACACCCACAGUACCCAAAAUCACAACAUCUCUCAUAUUGCUCCCAUUACCUGGCACAAUCUCCCUGUCCCCUUCUCAUUCAACAGAACAAAGCUACCAUGAAAGUCAACUGUUUACUUGGUUAGUUGCUAGAAGGGCCUGUCUUACACAUGAAAACCUUCAAAAAGGGGAGUCAACGUUCAUAAUAGGUGUGUUCUAUGUCAUAAGCAUUAUGAAGAUGUGAAUCACCUUAUUCUUCCCAGACGAUUCACGUCUCAAAUCUGGAGCUUCUUAUUUAGUAUUUUGGGGGGCAAGGAAAACUUAGAAUAUACAUGGUGGAUUAUAUGGGAAGAAAGGAAUGAACCUAAUGGUAGAAUUUUCGAGAGCAAAUCGGAAUCUGUAAUUAGUAUUAAAUAAAAAUAUACAUCUUUUACUUUAUUAUUGGUGCAACAUAGCUAUUGCAAACAACACUGAUGCCAUCGUUGACUCUUUGGGGUCACUACACUUUUCGUAUGGCAACACCUUUGCAAUUACUUCACAAGACGAACUUGUCGCUGAUUCUAAUAUGUACUACCUUAAACAAUUAAAAAAAUGAUAUAUGUUGAUAUGAAAAACUAAAAACACGCAGAAACAAGAGAAUAAGAAGAUAAAUAGUCUGGUUCAGAAAUCAUUGUUAGUAUGCUUGCAAUUCCAUUUUGAGAUCUAAGAUUCAUUGCUUGAAGACACAGUACUCAGCUCAAGAAUAAAAGGAUCGUAUUUUAACAGCUCUGUCAACACUCAACACAAACAGGUAUUUACUUAGAAGCAGCACACAUCUAGAUAAACAUUCACAUGGCAUUCCCAUACUUCGUAUAUUCUGCUAUAUUUCAUAUCCAAGUCCCUAAGAUAAAUUUAACAAUCUCGACAACAAUUGGAUAACUUGUGAUCCAAAUAAUAGCAUGAUAAACUACUUAUAUACCCCAAUCUAAGAUCAGUUUUGUAUCCAAAAAGCCAUAUUUCCUUUUAUACUUAAAAUUCAUAAAGUAAUGCUUGCUCAAAAAAAUAUACCAUAAUUUUCUAAAAACAUACUUGUCUGUCAGUGGAUUAUAAACUUCAGCAAGAACAAGUCCUCCUCCCGAUGAUGUGUUGCGCCCUCCAGCUACAUAAACCUUACCAGAGACAACACUGCAGGCAAAGUUAGAACGUGCUGUUCUCAUACUUGCAACAUUUCUCCACUCUUUUCUGAAAGGAUCAAAUUGGAAAACUUCAUUUGUCGUCAGGGCUGUUUGAUGGGGAAUUACUUGAUCACGUGCUCCAUAUGUGCCGCCAAUCAGAAGAAAUUUAUUCAAGACACAGGCACAUGAGAAACCAAGGUGCUCUUGGUCAGGGUGGCUCGUGGGUAUCCUAGGCAGAGGGUGCCACCUAUCAGCUUCAGGAUCAUAAGCAACCCAUUGAUUCUCAGAUCCUCCAGUCAGAACAAAUAACCAGUUACCAGACCAACCUUCUCUAGCUUUAUAAUUGGAAUAUUCUGCACUAUGGAAUAGCUUCCUCCAUCGCCUACUUACUGUUUCAAGAAUGCCAUGAUAUCCGUGUGAUAUCAUUGCUAGACAUCUCAAUGCCAAAUCAUCUGGUAGUCCAGGUAUUAGUGGUUGAUCAAUCGUCUCCCUGCAGAAAAUUACUUUGUAAAUGACUUAACAGUAUGAAAUACAGGUGGAUGAAAAAGAAUGCAGAUGCAGAGUUCAGGAUUUGGAAUGUCACAACAAGAGAUGUAUGGAAGUUUUUAGUAUAUGUAGUUCAUUAGCACUUGGCCCCGUGUAAGUACAAGAAAUUUAACAGGGGAAGGAAUGAUUUUUGGGCUUAAGAACCCAUAACAAGGGGCACAAUGGAAGAAAUAGCACGGCAAUAAAGUACUGCAUUCCAAAGUACUACAGACAGCAAUUUCUCCUCAACUGAAAUAAUGGAAGAAGAGAAAAGGAAGUGACUGAAUAAUACACACAAAAAAGUAGAAGAAAAGAACGGAUAAGAAUAGAAAGAUGGGUUAUAGCAAAAAGGAGCUCCAGGAUUUGAGCUACUUCGAGCCAACAAUUUGUCUUAAACAAGCAAUUGCUGAUUUUGACAAUAUCCCAGCUUUGCUUUCUUUUCUAUGACCUCUACUGUUCCCCAAAAACAUAUGUUUUGAGCAAACCCUAGUUCAUGUACCUCAAUGUCAUCAAGGGGAUUAAAACAGAUACCAGAUUUCCCUUCAAGAGAGAAUCCAAAACAUAAAACUCAGAUAAUAAAGCACCUAGUUUUCAUGAUCAUGCACCAAGACCAGGGGUGAGUGUAUGCACUAAAAUUGGGGCAAGUGCACCCAUGGUCUCUCCUAAACUAGGUAUUUUAUGUAUAUAUUUCUAGAAUUGGUAAAUAAUUAUACACCCAUCCUACACGAAGGAAAAAUGGCGAUCGUGGUUAAAUGUUGAGUUAUUUACAUAAAAAACUAGCAAUCAAUUCCCACUUCAAACUAUUUUCUUUUGUUGUUUUAGUUGUGCAUCAAUGUUGAUACAAAUCCUAAAUUCCUCUCUGACCAAGACAACACCACAAACAUAAAAUGACAAUCCAUCAAUAAAAUGAAUUAUAGAUAUCUCGUUUUUUGACCCAAUUGGUGUAAACCCAUUCUAACAAUCUUCGCAAGACUACCCUUUAUUGUAAUGGAAAUAAUCAAAGCCAAAAAUCAAACACAAAGUGAUGAAAUGGAGACUUGCUUACAUUAAUAAGGUCACUCUCUAAGAGCUUGAAAAUUCCAGAUACAGGGAAUCGGUCAUGAAAUUCAGCUAGUCCAAAGGAUUGUUGAAGUGAUGCUGCAUCCGAGUAAAACUUCUGGCGACUCCAAGAGAACGACGGCCGAUUUUCUUGUGGAAAUUAUAGAAAGUGAAAGAGGGCUUAACAAUUUGAUUGGGUUUAUCCAGACUAUUCUGAGAACAUUUUUACGACAACUUUAAACAAAAUGAGAAGGAAAGGCUUAAUACACGAAGUAGUACCUCAACUUGUACCAUUUUUGCAAAGCCGGCUCAAUAACUUCUAGUAAUUCUCAAAUGAAUACAUAUAUUUGAUGAAACUAUAACUUAGUAACCCCUGUAAUUUCACUUUCAAUAUAGUGUUUAGUGUCGACCUAAAAUAAUAUAAGACACUAUUUAUUGUAAGAAAUUGGUAUUUUGAAAUUAUAACUUUUGAAUUAAUUUAUUUGAUUUCUCAAGUGGAAUAAGAUAACACUAAGGGGUCGUUUGGUUAACAACAAGUUAUGCCAGGAUAUUAUUUGAGAAAAGAUAUAAAGUCAUCAUUAAAGUUGUUUUGGAUUUUCAUAAGGACACCUUAACUUUGCAAUUGUCCUAUUAACCCACUAAACAAUUUUGAACAGAUGUUAUCAUAUCAUUUUUCGAUCAGCCCCAAAUUUUAACAAGCAAGUGAGUUCACACCCCAAUCAUUACAUGACACGUGUUAAUUAAAAUUACAAAUUUUUUUAAUUUAAAAUUUCUCCUUUAUCUUUUUCUUUCUUUCUUUUUCUCUCUCUUACUUUUAAAUCUCAAUUUUGAUUUAUCUUAAAUUUCAUUAAAUCUUUCACCCCCUACUUUCAUCCCUUCAUUUUCUUUUUUUUUCUUCACCUCCCAACCCCCCAUGUCAAAUUGAAAUUCAUUUUCAUUUUUUUCUUUUCCUUUUUGUUCUUCUUCUCGAGUCAAAUUCUUUAUAAAAUUCAUACUAUUAUUUAGACUUAACUGAAUAGUUGAUAACAAAAUUAAUUAUUUUAAAAAAAAAAAUUAAAUUUUUGAAGGUAUCAUCAACUACUCAUUUUCAUAUACAUUCAAAAUUAGAAAUGAUUUUCUCAAAAAUUGAAAGAACUUAAUUGAAAUUGAAUAAAAAAACUACAUUAAUAAUUUCUAAUCAUCUUCAAAUCUAAAUAGUUUAUCGAAUUGUUCAAAAUGUAAGAAACUGUUUAGAUAAAAUUUUAAAACUAAAUAGAGUAAAACUAAUAGUGAUAAAAAAAAAAAGGUGAAGUUGUGGUAAAAAUGACACUGAAAAUAAUAAGUUUCAAUGGAUGGAAAUGAAAAUCAAUUUUGAAAAAAAAAAGAAGAAAGAAAGAGAAAAAUAUAAAGGAAAAAAAAGUUAAAAUAAUAAGAAAAAUAAGAAAAUAUAUUUUAUAACAAAAUACUUGUAAAAAUAAAAUUAUAUUAGUUAUUUUAGGGUGCUCACUCUCUUUGAGAGAGUGCACACCACUCUCUUGUUUGAUGAACGAAAAAUAAUGCAAUUAUAUAUAUUCAAAAUUAUUUAGUGGGGUAAUAGGACUAUUGUAAAGUUAAAAUGUCUUUUUAAAAUUUCGGGACAACAUCAAUGAUGACUUUAUGUCUUUUCUCAUAUUAUUUUGAGAUAACUUAUUUCAUCACUAUGAUAUAAAUGGUGGUAUAAGUUAUAUCAAACAUGACAACCAAAUAAGACACCAAAAAUUUAUCCUACGACUAUUUUUAUCCCAAAACUAUUUAUUUUUAUCUCUCACACCAAACGACUCUAAAGGAAAUAGGAAAUUAAAAAACUUUAAGUUUGUUAUAAAUGUAUAUUUUGUUUGUUUGAAGGUAUUAAUUUUACUUAAAAAUUAUUUAUACUUUUGUAGGCACAUAAAAUUUGUUGGAUAAAUUCAUGUAUAAAAUUUAUUUUUAAUCCAUGUUUAUUUGAAUUGAACAAUUAAUUUGAAUUGCAUAAUUAAAUAAAUCUAUCACCAUCAAAUACAAGUGAAAAAUUUGUUUUAUCUUAAGGCCUAAAUAUUAACCAAAUAUCGAGUGGCAUGAUAUUUUAAUCAAAUUCAAAACCAACGAGAUCAAUCAAAUUCAAAACCAACGAGACUAUAAGGUAAGUUUGAUGUCCCAUGUUAAUUUACGGCAUAAUAAUUCUUUCAUCUUUUGUACCAAAGAGAAAUUGAUGGUGCAAAAGUUUCAAAUAUGUGAAAGAGUAGGGGUGAAAGUGCACUUUGUUUCACCAAUGAGAGAACAUUGAGUUUUGAGUAUAUAUAAACUAGAGAAGCUGAACAACCACUGCUCCGCCGUCGAGCCAGACGUUGAUGGCAUUCUAUUACCGAACUCGUCGUGCUCUUCCAAUUUUCCGGUGGCGGCGUCACCUUUCUUCGUCUUCUUCUUCCAAAGUUGCUCUUCUUUGGGAAUCUAAGUCCACCGACUCACAAAAAGCAGUCACUGUCCAACUGUAUUCCUGGGGACGUGGUGCUUCCGGUCAAUUGGGUGGCGGUAUUGAAGAAAUUAGAAUAUACCCAUCUCCUGUUGCUUCAUUUUCUUUGUCUCCCACUUUCCGGUUAUCCUCCCCCAUUCCUGGUCGUCUUCCUUCUGCUCCUGUGCUGCUGUCGUCUUCAUUCAAUGAGGGGAAGGUGGACGUUGAAAUAGGAAUUUCUUGUGGGCUUUUCCAUUCAGCUUUAUUGGUUGAUGGGAAUCUGUGGAUUUGGGGAAAAGGUGAUGGGGGUCGUCUUGGGUUUGGCCAUGAGAACCCAGUUUUUGUUCCUACGUUGAAUACUCAUUUGGACUCGGUUCGAAGUGUUGCUCUUGGUGGGCUUCAUUCCGUAGCUCUGAACUCUCUUGGGCAGGUCUUCACUUGGUCAGUACCAAUUCCAACCUUGUACUGUGCAUUUUUUGCCUUUCCUUGUGAUAGAAAUAAAGAAAGUGAAAAAUUAAUGUAUUACUUAUUUGCUCAUUGUUGUUUUUACGUGGAGAAUUGAAAGGUCUUAAUGCUUAUUGUUAACAAGAUUUCAUUGACAGUAACUUUUUUUAUGGUCUCACUUUCGCUCAGCAAUAGGAUGAAAUGUAGAGGUCCUAAAGGUUGAAAAGAUUUGGGUCUUGACCAAAAGAAUAUCUGUCUAGUCUUAUUAGUGCCUUCACUUGGUUUUGCUUGAUAACUAGAAAGGAAUGGAGAAAAAGGUUGAAGUAAUUUUGAUGCUGAUCCGAAGAUUUUUCAUUUCUAGUCUCUUAUUUUGGCUACAGCCCCUUGUUGCUUGUUAUUUAGAACUGUAAAUUUAAUAUGAAUGGUCACAUACAAUGCCGCGGAAGAGGGUGUAAACUUGCUUUAUCACUGUUCUUUUGUGUAAAUAGCUGUUGUAAGGAGAAAGGAGUGAGAUUUUCAUUGCAUAUUUGUAUAGUCUUGAUAGUGUGUCCUUUAUGUAGUUUCUAAGGUAAAUAGUAUUUAUGUGGACGUAUUAGAGAUCGAAUGAUCUCUCUGAUGAACCAGCAUAUAUUUAUCCUGUCCAUAAUCUCUUAUUUUUACUUACCUCUCAGUAGGAGCUCCCACCUUUUUGCUCCCUUGUUGACUCAAACCACAACUUUAGGGUUGCAGGUGGAAGUUACUUAUCAUCUGAGCAACCCCUUCUAGUUAGUUUACUAUCUCUUUGUCAUGACAACUGUCGCUUAUAUUGUUAUUGUGAACUUAAGAUGAAUGAAGACACAGAAUGGUUGCACAAGGUAAAGAUGUGAAUUAUGUAUUUAAGCACUUCUGAUAAUUUGUUUCGACCUGUAGUCGGAAGACAUACCUUUAGAUAUGUGUAAUUGUGAAUUGAAGAAAAAGAAGAAAGAUUUAUGAACGCAUAUCUGUUUCCCAUUUUUUUUGUUGUUUUGACCUGGAGCAUGGAAAAUGCCUAAUGCGAUAAUGCCUAUGGUUAGCAAGGUUUUCAUGUAUAGUAAUCUCUUUGUAGCAUGACCCGCAUGUAGUUUUGCUAAAAAAUAUGGAGGUACUAAAGUUUGAAGUAGUAUGGGGGCUGAAUAAAAAAUCCAAUUUUGUCUAUAUGGCAUGGCCUUCACUUAGUUUUACUUUGCCAAUAAAUAGGGAUGUAUAGAAAAGUUGGAGGUAUUUAUAUGCUGAAUGAAAAAAUCCAUGUUUAGUCUCAAUUUUUGGCAACAAUCUUAUUAUCAUAUUUGUGAAUCUAAGAUGCUUGAACACAUAUAAUGCUGCGCAAGCGAAACUGUGAACUUUUUUUUCACAGUUCCAUUGUGUAUAUAGACAUCAUCACCCCUUUUCAGCAUGGCACUAUACUCGCCCUUUCUGCUAGGUCUAGCGAAAUAGGCUUUAGGAUGAAUCAACAUUGAACUCAUGCAUUUUCCAUUGAAGAGUUUGACAUAGAAGUAUUCUAAUUCCUUUAGUGAAAGAGAGAUAAAAUUUAAUUGUUGAUGGUGAAUAGUUUGACAUGUUUUUGGAUUUUUUUUACCUCCUUAGCUUUAGCUUAGGCUACUUGUACUAGUGCUGAUAUGUUUUUUUUGCCCUUCUGUACUAGAGCUAACUGGUCAUACCUUUUGUAACUUGGCAUAUUCCUGAUGCCCAUUCAAUGAUAAUCUUUAAUCUUAUCACAGGAAUAGUUUGAAUGACUUGGUGAAAUCAUAAUCAGCAGUUUUGUUCAUUGUAACUUGAUUCUUUUAUGGAAAAAAUGAAGUUUUCAGGGGUUACGGUGGCUUUGGCGCUCUUGGUCAUAAAGUUUAUCACAGAGAGCUGGUCCCUAGAUUAGUGGAGGGUUCUUGGGAUGCAGAAAUAUGCCAUGUAGCAACCAGUGGGACACAUACAGCUGCUAUAACAAAAUCAGGUAGGAUAUUCAAACACUAUCACGUUUCACACUUCACCAGCUAGAGAAAAUGUGGGUAUGUGCUUUUCUUUAUGAUCGAUAGCUACAAUUUUUGGAUUGUUUGAUUUAAGUAUUCAACUUCUAUGUAGCUGAUUCAUCAUUAGUAGUUAUAAUUGGAUUACUCAUUUGACAAUAAAAUCACUUCUUUCAUUUUGAACUCGAUCUUACUUUAUCAAUCCGGAGUUAUCUGGAUGGUAGUUAUUGCUUUUCCUAGGUAGAAAAAUCUUGAAUUGGCAAACAGUUCUUCUAGAUGAAGCUUUGUACUAGACCUUUCAAAAGAAGCAUGCCCAAGAAAUGUGAUGGUAGUAAAUUGGAAUAUUCAUCAUCCAUCCAUCAUAGGGUAAUACCACUAUCCCAUUUUAUUAGACAUGCUUUCCUUUUUAGUCUGUCCCAAAAAGAAUGACAUCAUAUUUAGAAACAAUUUAACUUUAAACUUCCCAGUUUACCAUUAAUAUAAGAUAAUUUAUAGUCGCACAAAUGUGUAUGACUUGUUUUAGACCGUAAGUUUCAAAAGUCUUUCAUUCAUAAACUUCUGCCUAGUCAAACACGGUCACAUGAAAUGGGAUGGAGAGAGUAUAGUUUUUCUAGUAAUCUUGAAAUUGGCUAACCAACAAUAUUCAAAUAUGUAACUACACAUCUCAGCUAUACCACCUCUACCAUUGAUUUAAAGCCCCGGGACAUCACCAAGUAAAAUAGCUUGCAGUCAACUUCCUUGAAAGGGCUUCUGAGAAUGAAAAGAUGCAGAAAAUAUAGCCACAAUGGUCGGCCGAAUCUCUCUCUCUCUCUUUAUAUAUAUGUAUAUAUAUAUAUAUAGAGAGAGAGAGAGAGAGAUUUUGAGAACUAGUACUAUUGUAUUUCUCAGCAUUAAGGAAUGUUAGCCACCUCCAAAAAAUUACUAGGUAGUAAGGUUAGACUCUAAAUCUUUAUAGAGCACCUAAAAAUCUACACCAAAAAGUCUACCAGCUCAUCUAUUUCCUCUAUAUAGUUCCCUUUACACCAAAAAAUAGGCACACUAAGCAUUUCCAUUUCACAUCAUGAAUGGACUUGAUUUGUCUUCAAAACAUCUCUCAUUUCUCUCUUCCCACUGUCCCACCAUAUACAUGAGGGUAUUAUCCCCGAUCAUUUUUUCUGGCUCUUGCUGUCCCCUCUUCUCAUCUAGCAACUCAUUAAAUCAGCAGUAUGAUCAGGCAUUGUUGGACAUCAUCCAUUCAGUCUUUGUGAGACUAAAGAAUAGCUGUGGACUUGCAAUGCAAAAAAAGAUGGUUGUUUGUCUCCCCAGUUUCAUUGUACAGAAAGCAUCUAGUCACCACCACUCUUCCUUUUUCUUGUUGCACUUCAUGAGUAAGACAAACUCUCUUCACUACUAGCCAAGUGAAGCAUUUGAUCUUGAUGGAGCCAUGCUUUUCCAGAUAUUCUUCCAGAUCUUUGGACACUCACCUUGCAUCAUACUGUUUUCCCUCUUACAAAAUCUGUUCACAGCGAAUACACCAUCCAUUGUGUGUCUACAUCUCAAUGCAUCAGGUUGCAGAAUAGAGCCAGGGAAAGUGUCCAGUAUAUUCAAUAGACUUGUCACGCUUUCUACUUUCCAGUAGUGGUAGGCAUUCGGUAGUUUGGUUCGGUUUCCAUGUUUUUGGUUUUCGGUUAUUGAAUUUGUUGUACUGAACACCGAAUCUAAAUAAUUCUGUUAAGUUCGGUUUUGGUUUAUUAAAUUUGGUGUUUUCUGUUAUGGGCCUGCUUAAUGGGUUUUUUAGAUUUUAGAUUUUAGAUUUUGUGAUUUUUUUUGGUUUGAUGUUUCACUAAUGGGCUAAAAGUAACGCUAUCAUAGCUUAAAAUAUUACAAUAUAAACUGGUAAGUGGUCCUGAAGUGUUAAAGCUAUUAUUAAAUAUUAACUGAGGACUUUUUUGGUGCUUUAGUUCUGUGUUACUAAAGCAUGUAUUCACGCAACUAAACAUUUACUGUACCUUAAAGUUCAAUAAAUAUGGAAAGUUUAUCUCUGUUGUCUCAGUAAAUGGCCAAGCCGGAACAAUGAUUAUUUUACCUGAAAACUCAUUCAAUGAAGGAUGGGGGACUUGUCUUAAAGAUGGACAAAUUCAUAAAUCAAAAGGCAGGAGUACAAGUCUCUAUUACUGAGCAAUGAGGUCCCACUUCCAUGGGACUAAGGGGAAAGGAUAGUUACAAAGAAAUAAUACAAAGAAGCAAAUGGAGUGCUGGAGAAUAGAGCUUGACUCCGAUGGCUUUCUUUGAAGGAGAAAAAGGACCACUGAGUAGGUGUUUGGUGGGAAGAUUUCCAAGGGUGCGUCAAGAUAACCACCAAAAGUGUGGUUAGGAGCUGGGCGGAAAAGGCAUGGAUGGGCAUCCACAGUUUGCAGAUUUAUGACAUGGAUGGAACUCAGUUCCUAUUUGAGUUUCAAUCGAGACGAGAUGCAAAGCACAUACUCAUGGGAGAGUGGGGUUGGAAAAAUCACCUUCUACUUCUAGAAUGGUGGACACCAAUGGCAGGAGCUUUUCUGGCAAAUCUUAACUUCGAGUGGUUCUGAGUGCGUACACUAGGUCUACCACUGCAGUUUGGAAUGAUAAAGUGAUGAAACAAAUUGGAGAUCUUUAUGGGGGAUGAUUGGAAACAGUGGAAGUGACUCAACUAAAAAACCAUCUAUAAUGAGCUCGAAUUUGAGUACGGGGAUCGAGAGAGAAGAUUCCUUUUGUAGUGGAGAUUAACGAUGGUGACCUCAUAUUUACACUGGCUCUGGCCAGAUACCGAAGAAAGGAAAGGGAUGAGCCCAAUAAUUGAGGCAACAAUACAAGGAGUGAGAAAGGAAAGGCUAUAGAAAACCCUAAUCUACAGUUGAUAGAUUCAGAUGACAAAAUUGGGAAGUCUUUUUCAAAAGAUUGUCCAGUGGUCCUUAGCAAGGACCCUGACACUUUUACUAGUGGUAGCCACAUGACCCUUGAAGGAAAUGUGUCAACACUUAUGCAUGGAGUGGACCCAGACAGUCACAACAAUUUUAUAGGGAAGAAAUUUUGUGGGAAUUGUUGUGGGCUAUUAAAGCCCAAACCUCUGAUAGCACAAAUUUCCUUAAAGGGAAAGUGUUGAUCCUAUGUUAAAAUUCCUCAAAUAAGUGUACACUCCUUUUUCUCCAAAUUCUCUUAAUAACACAGAGCUAGAGUCUGUUAUGAGAAUGAAGAUCAAGAAAAUACAUGGAAGCCAGAAUUCAAGCGGAGAAAUUAACAUGCAGAGCGAAGGAAGAAGAGAGGAAAAUGACCUAACCCUCUCCAUGGAAGAUGCACAUGAAAACUUGACUGGAGAAGAACAAAGUCAAUUGUUAGCAGGACAUCUUAGCGUAUAUGAGGAGCCGGUGCCAAUUUAGAUGGCAGAACCUCUUUUGGAACAGGAGAACGAGGACAAGGCUACUAUCUGGGUGCAAACCAAUGUUCUAAAAUUCAGUAGGAUGUUUGGCGCAACCUUUGAAGGAUGUGCUAAAAUAGCUUUUGACCUUUUUAUGAAGAUAGAUAAAAAAAGAGGCCUAUUAGAUCAAAAGAAUGAGGCGAACAAUAAAUAAACCAAACAGAGUUCUAUUCUUAAAAGAACUUAGGAACCUUGAAUUCCAUGUGAAUUUUAAGGAUGGGGAACCUACUCAUAUCUUGGAAUGUGAGGGGGUUGAAUGGGUGGGGGAUUAAAGGAGCUUGGUUAGAGGUUUAACUAAGCAAUGGGGAGCUGAUGUUUAUGUCUUUCUUGAGAGAAAAUUGAUGGGAGGGCAUGCUACUUUAUUAAAAUAAGUUUGGCAUAACAUGUGGUUGGGAGAACUUCAUUUAGAUGAGUUGGGAAGAAAGGGGGGGGGAUUGCGGUGAUGUGGAUAAGAGGUACAUCUGGUAGGGGUAGGAGGGCAAAUGCUUGCUUGUAAGUUGAUAGGCAUAGAAAAAAAAUCUUUCUUGGUUUCUAAGUGUUAUGUAUGCUGACUGUAACAUAGAGAUCAGAAGGGAAUUGUGGGAGGAGCUAACAAUAAUUAGACAUUCUUGUGAUGGGCCAUGGGUUGUGUGCAGUGAUUUCAACGUCACUAGGUAUCCUAAUGAGAGAACUGUCAAUAACAAUCUAUCUAGGACAAUGACAGAGUUCAUUGAUUGGAUUAAUGAGAUGGAAUUAAUUGAUCCUCCUUUAUUUGGAGGAUCUUUUACUUGGAGAAGGGGGAAAACCAUACAACAGCGUCAAGAAUAGACAGAUUCCUAUAUUCUAGUUGAUGGGAGGAAGUGUUUCCACAAAUCAGACAGUGUUCUUCCUAGAGUAGGUUCAGAACACAACGCCUUGCUUUUGAAUUGUGGAGAAUGGACUCCAAGGAAAACAAAUUUCAAGUUUGAACAAUGAUGGAUGAGAGUGGAGGGUUUCAAGGAGAAAGUCACAGAAUGGUGGACAUCCUUUUCAGUCACUGGUACAACCUCCUAUAUGUUGGCCACAAAGAUGAAGAUGUUGAAAGGGAAACUAAAGGAAUGGGGAUUUGAAAACAGAGGUAAUUAGAAGCACAGAAAGGAACAUCCAUCGAGGAACGUAAACCACUAAAACGAGUUUGCAGAAGUUUCCAGGAAUGAGGAAGUAGCAUGGAGACAAAGGUCAAGGGUACAAUGGUUGAAACAAGGGGAUAAGAACACCAAAUACUUCCACAGAGUUGCCACAACCCACCGGAGAUAAAACACAAAUGAAAAACUAGAAGUGGAAAGGGUAACUAUCACUGAACCGGAAGAGAUCAAGCAGAUGAUUGUAAGCUUUUAUCAAAAGCUUUAUAAGGAACCAAAGCAAUGGAGACCAACAUUCAACUUGCAGGGAUAUGAAGGAGUGAUUGAAGAAGAGAAGGUUUGGUUACAGGGACAGUUUGAGGAAGAGGAAGUUCUAGAAGCACUCAAGUUGUGUGCUAGUGACAAGGCCCUAGGCCCUGAUGGUUUCCCUACGAGAUUCUACCAGAGCUUCUAAGGAAAUUAUUAAGUUAGAUAUCAUGAAGAAAAUGCAACAGUUCCAUGAUCAACAUGUUUUUGAAAAGAGUUUGAAUACAACCUAUAUAGCUCUAAUCCCCAAGAAAGUGGGAGCUCUUGAAUUAAGAGACUUCAAUUAAGAGACAGCAGACCUAUUAGUUUGAUAAGUGGAAUUUACAAAAUAAUUGCCAAGCUUUUAGCUGAAAGACUAAAAAGGUGAUAAGCAAGCUAGUCAAUAAACAUCAAAUGGCCUUCAACAGAUCAUUGACGCAACUUUGAUAGCAAGUGACUGUUGACUCAAGAAUUACAGGGGAAGAUCCUGACAUCAUGUGUAAUUUGGACAUAGAGAAUACCAGAAAUUCCUGCUCAAAAUUCUAGAGCAGAUGAGUUUUGGGGAAAGAUGGUUGAUGUAGAUUGCCUUUAGUAUAAAAACCGUCAGGCAUGGAGGGUUUUCACAACAUGAUGAGAGUGUCUAAAAUCAUUGGAUAAGGGGAUUCACGAUUGACAAUCUUUUAGGGGAGGAGAUGCACAUAUAUCAUCUACUUUAUGCAAAUGACACAAUCAUUUUCUGUGAAACAAAGGCAAGUCAGAUUUCAUUCAUAAGGAUGACCUUGGUGAUUUUCGAGGCAGUUUCUGGGCUAACAAUAAACUGGAGGAAGAGCUGCAUAUUUCUAUUAAGGAGGUUCCUCAAAUACAAAGUUUGGCAACUAUUUUGGGGUGCAGAGUGGAGCAGCUUCCAAUGACCUAUUUAGGCAUGCUGCUGGGACACAAUCACAAUGAGUUAGAAAUAUAGGAUGGCAUCAUUGAGAAGACUAAAAAGAAAUUAGCUAACUGGAAAACCCAAUACAUCUCAUUAGAAGGGAGAGUUACUUUUAUAAACUCUUUCUCACUGCUUACUUAUGUAAUGUCACUGUUUGGAGGAAAGGCUUGACAAGCUAAGAAGAGAAUUUUUGUGGUUGGGAAACAAAGAAUGAAAGGGCCGACAUUUAGUUAAAUGGCAGGUUGUACAACUUCACAAGCAGUCAGGUGGACUUGGAAUCAGAAAUCUGAGAAUUCAAAAUGCAUGUCUUCUCUCAAAGUGGCUAUGGAGGUUUACCAGGGAAACACAUGCUUUGUGGAAAGAGAUGAUAGUAAACAAAUACGGUAUGGAUAAGAAAUGGUGCUCCAACUUAGUCAACUACACCUAUGGAGUUUCAGUAUAGGAAUUUGUGACACUACCUAAUUAGAAAUGUAGACUAUAAAGUGCGAUCUGGAACCACGACGUCAUUCUGGAAGGAGAAUUGGAUUGGAAAUGAGUCACUGAUGGUCUUGUUUCUAGACCUUCUCCUCCUGAGUACUAAUCCGGAAGAGACAGUGGCUGAUGUUUGGUCCCAACAGGGAUGGAACAUUGUGUUUAGAAGAUUCCUUAAUGAUUGGGAGAUUGGGAGUCGCUUUGUCAUUACAAAUAUUGGAUGGGUUUACGUGGACAACAAUGGAGGAAGACUCUAUUAGAUGGAGACAUAGGAGCGAUGGGGUGCUAUCAGUUAACAGAUUAUAUAUCAAGGAAGUGAAAGAGUUGAAAGGUGGUAAGAUUGGUCCAUGGAACCAGAUUGAAAACCAAGGUACCUGUCACAUCCCAAUCUUGGAUUGUAACUGGCGUCGUCGAAUUCUCGGAGUUCUUAGACAAGCCUCUUUCAUAUCAUUCAUUGCAUAUACAUAGGGAAAAGUAGUGCGGAAUUAAAACUUUUCACAAAACAUAAUAUAGUCUUCAAAAUCUCUUUCAUAUAAAAGUAAUAGGAAAUACUAAGUCUCAAUCUUAUCAUCUCAAGACACAAGAAUACUUGGGACACGAUCCAUACUUCAAAAUACGAAUAUAGAAAUACUUAGUCUAUUACAAUACUUUGAAUGAAAACAUAAAGGACACAUAUAUGCCCUCGAGUCAAGUGAUCAAGAUCUUCUAAGUCUAAGUCUCCACUUCUCAAAGCUCCUUACCUACCAAGAACUAUAUAGAUAGAUAAACGCAUGGAGUUAGUACAAACACAUGAACUAAGUAUGGCUUUAUGCAUAAAAAUCAUGAAAAUGGACUUUAAUCAUAAUAACAUCAUUAAUCAAUUUAGAAACACAUAAGAUAAUUCUAGCAUGUAAUUUCCUCACUUAAGUCAUCCUAAGAUUCACUUAAGUCACACAAAGAGAGACUGCCCAUACACCCUCUCUAGAUGUGCCUAAACAACCCUUAAGAUUACCUAUAAUGAGUCACAUACAUACUUACAAAACAAACAUAAACAUCAAGGUAAAUUCUUCUACCAAAGGUGAACUCUAAGUCUCACUUGAGUGAGUUAUGAAGCGACCGCCCAUACAAUCCCUUACACACACUUAAGAGAUCCGAUAGACUCUCUAAGAUAGAAUCAUGCUCACAUAAAUCACCAACACAUAGAUGAUAUGACAUUCUCUUCCCAAAGGCUAUCAAAAGACCUACUUAAGUAAAUCAAGAAGAUAACGUCCAUAGUGACCUCUUCAAGAUUACCUAAAUAAUCCUUAAGACCACCUAAGGCUUAGAUCAUGUCCACAAAAUUAACAAACUUCCCUAACUAGAGUCAUACUCAAGACUUCCAAAGAUAAGACAUGAAGAGAUCAUCUCUUAUGCCAUAUUCACACUUUAGCUAAGGAAUCCUUAAGUCACUUUAGAUUAGGUACUCAUUUAUUUACAUACAUACUCCUUAACAUAAGUCAGUAGUUCAUUAAGACUCAUACAUCACAUAAAGUACAUUCAAAUAAUGGUCUUGGACAAGACCUAGGAACUCCACAUAACACCUUCAAAGUCUAUUUUGCAAACCACCACCUAAACUUCAUAAACUCCUCAAAUGCUAAUAGGUAUUCCAUAUGAUGAGAAUAGGCAAUAACCGACAUAGACCAUGGUAGCAAGACACGAAAUCAGGAGUUUUAUCCUACUCCGAUGAGGUUGUUCUACUUGCAAAUGGUAGAACUUGGACACAUCCAAUGUAGUUACAUUGUUAAGGAAUAUGAAGGGCAUACCUUGUAUUCUAGUCUCAUACUUAACUAGAACUACUUUCCCUUACCAUACUCAUUCGGUGCUAGCCUUCGUUCUCAUAGAUCAAUUCUCAUUAAGGUUCAUAUAAAAGGGUCCCAUAUCUAGUUCAUGACCCAAUUACAUUCAACCAACCAAAGCAAGGUCCACUAGGGCAUAUCUCACUAUGGUGACAAGAAGCUCAUCACGACUUUCCUAAGGUAUGAUAUGAUGCCGUUCCGACCAAUUAACCUUAAGUCCGUCACUCCUUUAUUUUGAAGGAUACCAUUACGGCUUACACUUCAACAAUCUUAACCUUUCCCUUAAGUCAAGGUUCCACAUAAAUGACCUCGUAUCAUCAUGCAAGGUCUCACCUAUAUUCAUUUAUUCAAGACUAAGACCCUUUAGGUUCCUAAGUCAAGACAUCACAUAUUCACAUAAGCAUCAAGUAAGGGACCCAAGUCUACCUAAACAAGACCAACAUACUUCCAUCUAACACAAAUUGCCUAUCUUCCUUUAGACUCUUAGGAAUGACCCUUAACCUUAUUUAGUCAUCCUAUUCAUUACCUUAACAUUAUUAACCUAACCAUUUUAGACUCAUCCAACCAACUUAGGAUCAACCAUGUAUCAACUCUAAGACUACACACUUAACACAUAGCCAUAACAUAACAUUAUUAACUAAAUAGUAUCGAUAGUCUAACACAUACUUUCACAUAUAGGUAGAUAUGAUCACACAUCAUCAAAUCAACUGUACAAAUAGCCAUAUAAGUUCAAGUAGUUGCCAAUAGGGCCAUGCUUAUAAUAUUGCAUAAAGUAACGUUGACAAGGCCACAUCAAUUGCAAGUAAAACACAUAACACCACCACCAUAUGUGGACCAUACCAAUCACAAUAGAAUUGAAGUAUACUUAAUAUCAAAUUAAAGAAAUCCGGGCAGCAUACCUUCAUUCCCUUAUUCACACUUCAAUUCUAUGCUAAAUCAUCCAAUUCAACAUCACAAGGCCCUUACCCAAGGCCAUAACCAACAAUUCAAGCAAUAAUAAUAAAAUCCAAUGAAAGCUCUAUCAAGUCAAUCUAGGUUUAACAAUCUAGGAUCAAUUAGAUAACAAUUGAAUAAAGCCCAUUAGAAACUACAUAACAAUUCAUGAAUAUUAGCUUAAUAUCAAGUAACCCACAUUAUAGUCAAAAACUAGGAUUCAUCCAAAUUCAUGGGUUCAUAGGUAAUUUAUGUUAAAAUCAUCAAUACAAUAUCAAUUAGAUCAUAAUUCGAUGUUUAGAAUUCAUUUAUGCAAGAACCCAUGGUAGAAUCAUGAAAUUGGACAAUUCACUUUAGCAAACUUUGAAUUACAUCUUGAGAGUUGGGCUCCUUGAUGAAACGAGUUUCAAGGAUCAAAAGCCAUACCUCAAGGAUGAUAAUUCUUCACUUGAUGAAGAAUUUCGACACAAAAACCCCUCACCAAGAUGCCUUUUCAAUUGGGUCUUCAAUGGAGGUUUUGGGAUAUUUUGUAAGUGUUUUGGGUUUUCAAUUUGGAAGAAUGAAGUCUUUAAGGUGUUUACCCUUUAUAUACUUAAUUAAAAUACCCAAAUAAUCCUUAAAUAACUGUCCAUGACUUAAUUUAGAAGCGGAGUGAAUUUACAAUUCACCUUUUGACUUGGCAGCAGCCUGCGCAGGAAGGCAGUUGCGUGCGACACCUGCCCUUGACGGGGCGUUACAACCACGACGGGGCGUCACAGCCCUCCGUCGUUGGCUACAAUGGCCGGCCAAGCUUCUUUUCCCUCUCAUGGUUAAGUCCCCAUCGACGACACCCUUUGACGGGGCGUCAACAGGCCUACGAGCCGUCGAUUGCUUCGUCGUUUGGGGUCUGCUUGGGACUGCCAUGCCAACAGUUUUGGGUCCUUCCUCAAGGACUCUUAGAUGGUCCUUGGGGAUAAUUUCCCGGACAUUUCCAACCCAAAUAUGAUCGUUUAUAAGUUUAACACCUCUCACAUGAAUUUCAUCCAAAACGAACACGUAAAACUCGCCUAGACAUACAAGGUCGACUCAAGGCAUAUCUUUCGAACGCCUUGGACGUUCUUGGUCGUUUGACCUCCAAACUUUACGAAACUUUAAUCACUGCCUAUACAUGCUAUAUUAACUCUAUUAAGAACCUGAAAACACUUGAAACACACAUAAACACAUAGAACCACAUUUUAGACAUUUAGGUGACUUAGUCGUUAAACGUCUUAGUCGUCCCUUGACAUUUGACUUCCAACACCCCUAAUACUUUAGCUACUAUCUAUAUACCAUAUUUUAGACUCAUUUAGGACUUUAGACCAUCAAUACCAACAUGUUAGGCUCUAGUUAACCUAAGUCAUUUUCGGGGUCUUACAGUGCCAACCAAGGUGAAGUGUUUCUCCUGGUUGGUUGUAAGGAAACGUUACUCCACUCAUGAAAGAUUAAAUAAGAGAGGGUUUCACAUUGCUUUUGGUGCUCUCUAUAUAAUAAAGCUGAGGAAACUAAUAGACAUAUUCCUACAUUGCAAAAUGAUAACAUUAUUGUGGCACUUUUUUUGGGCCUAACACAAAUAGAGUGGACCAUGCCGGACAAUUGUUGGAUGAGAAAGUUGGGGGGGGGGAGGUAAACUCAGAAAAAAUGGUGGAGUAUGAUUCCGUCAUGCAUAUGGUGGUCCAUAUGGAUGGAGAGAAACAAUAGGUGCUUUGAAAACAAGGCUAAUAUAUGACAACCUCUUAUGUAAAGAAGAAGGAAUAGAUCAAAAUGCACAAAUUAUAAAUUUUAUAGGAAAUAUGUAAUCUAGUAGUUGUUUUGUCGUAGAUUGAAAAUUGAUGUAAAUCUUAUAGAGGUCUUCGGCAUGUCCUUAAUGCUGAUGAAUACAACCUUAGCCUUAUAAAAAAACAACAUUAAUAUUUUGACAAUAACAAAACUCCAAGUGCAAUGGCCAAAUCACACCAAAUUUUCCACCAACAAUAACAAUACAACAAUGAACGGCAAUGUAGUUUCUUCCCUGAGACCAGUGCCAAGUGCCAACAAUAACAAAACUUUAGUACUUUACGCGCUUCUUUAUUGUCUUGACCACUUGAAGUUGAUUCUUUAAGAUAUAUAAUCAAAUAAAUAACGUGUUGAACUUGACACUACUAAAUACAUGAAAAUUGCAAUCAAAGAUCAACAAUGCAAGAGUUUUUUUCACUAUUUGUCAUCUCUAAAAAUAAUAAAUCAAAUGUGUCAUGCAACACAAUAAGUAUUUUAUUUUUUGCGAAAAAACCAAAAAAUACGAAGUCAUAUCAAGUUCAAUUUUCUCAAGAAACUCCAAAUUUUUUUCAACACAAAUAGGAUUUGUCUCUUGACUACGCCAAUCUUAGACAAAAAUAAGACAUUGCCCACAUUUGCGAGUCAAUGAACUUCUAAAUGGAUCAAGAAUGCAACCACAGAUACUAAAUAUGCAUUCCGAUGCCACACUCGACAUAGGAAUAACGAAUACAUCUCGAGUCAACUAUCGAAGUAUAGGUAACCUAGGAGAAUUAACUUUCCACCAAAUUAAGAUAUCAAAAUUUUCUGAUUCAGGCUCUUGGUCUUUAGCAAGGUAUCUUUCCAACUAAGAAUCUUCCUUUUGUUUCUUCAUGUAAAACUUAGUUAUCAAAUUUUGAGAAAGACCACAAGUAGAUGAAUCAUAUGAAAAUGAUUGAUUCUUAGAACUUUUUGAAUACUUACUUGCGUAGACCGCAAAUAAUUUCUUCAAGUAAGUUUGUGGUUCCUUAUUUACUAUCUUUUACUAUUCUUCCCAAGUAAUUCUUCAAGAGCGAAACUAAUGUACACAAACUUAUACGAGAAUCCAACACGGAAACAAUAAGUCUUAACUUUUCUUCUAUUCCCACAAUCAUUUUACGCAAAUCAACAUUAUCACUUGUCAUACACCCUUUCAAAUAUGCAUAAAGCCUCACAUAUAUCCUCAUGUUGAACAUUACAAGUAACAUAUCGCGAACUUGAAACUUUCAAUGUGAGCUCUUAAAAAUUUUCACGAAACUUUGUUGCAUUCUUACAUUAACCCUAUCAUCAUUUUGAAUUGAACCUGCAAUACUUUAAUCUUCACAAACAUUAGUAGCAAGAUAAAGGAAUAACGUUACCAUCAUAAAGAUCUAACCUCUCAAAAGGCCUUCUCAAAUUUUUUUCUGUGGUGUCCAAUAUCAAAUAGGUGGGAUUCCACCUAGUAGGCACAUCUAAAGAUAACAUUUUAUCACAUUCUAUCUUUUGCAUUUCCAGAAGUUUCUUUGUCCUUCGUAAAAGAUGUUCUAAUAUAUUUCUUCAUUUGCCUUACCCAUUUGAUAGAAAGACCAAUUUCCUCCAAAUCAUCUUGUACAAUUAGUUUAAGUAUGUGAGUUAUACAUCUUACAUGGAGAUGCUUACCUUUCACCAUAUCAGUUUCCCACAUAUCUAACUCUAAAUUGCGAUAUUAUUUGAAGAAGCAUUAUCAACCGUAACAGGUGAAGACAUUGUCCAAGUUUUAAUCAAGUAAACAAUUACUAAUAUACUGCAGCGAUAGGGACCAAAAUUCAAUAUUUUUUUUAUGAAGCAUUUAAUCCUUAUCGAUAAAGUGAGCAGUCAAACACAUACUUUAUUGAUAGUGAUUGGGUGCUUAGAGUCUAUAGUAAUUGCUUACUUGGUUGAAACUUGGAUAAUGUCUUCACUGUUAUUGUUGAUAAUGCUUCUACAAAAUGUCGCAAUUAUAGAAUUGUCUAAAGAGUUAGAUAUGUGAGAACUAAUAUGGUGAAUGGUAAGCAUCUCCACGUGAGAUGUAUGACUCACAUACAUAAUCUAAUUGUUCAAGAUAGUUUGAAAGAAAUUGGUCCUUCUGUCAAACUAGUAAGACAAAUGGUGAAAUAUGUUGGAUCAUCUUCUACAAGGAUAAAAAUACUUCUUGAAAUGCAAAAGAUAAAAUGUUAUUUUUAGAUGUCCAACUAGGUGAAUCCCACUUAUUUGAUAUUGGACACGACAAAAAAGUUUGAGAAGGCCUUUGAGAGGUUUAUUCUUUAUGCAAUUUUAUUUCUUAUCUUGCUACUGAUGUUUGUGGAGAUGGAAGUUUUGCAGGUUCAAUCCAAAAUGAUGAUUGGGUUGAUGUGAGGAAUGUCACAGAGUUUCUUGAAAAAUUUUAUGAGCUUACAUUGGAAGUUUCAGGUUCACUGUUUGUUACUUGUAAUGUUCAUUUUCAGGAUAUGUGUGAGCUUGAUGAAUAUUUGAAAGCGUGUAUGACAAGUGAUGAUGUUGAUUUGCGUAAUGUGACUGUGGGAUGAAAAAAAGUUCAAGACUUAUUGGGGAACUCCUGAAAAGAUAAACAAAAUGCUUUUUAUUGCUUUUGUAAUGGAUCCUUGUAUUAAGUUUGUGUACGUUAGUUUUGCUCUUGAAGAAUUAUUUGGGGCAAGUAGUAAAUAAAGGAACUUACUUAAAGGAAUUGUUUGCGGUCUAUGUAAGUAAGCAUUAGAAAGGUUUUUUUUUAAAGAAUCAAUCAUGUUUAUCUAAUUCAUCUACUUGUGGUUUGUCUCAAAAUUUGAGAACUAAGUUUUACAUGAAGAAUCUAAAAGUGUAGGCACUAUAUAUGAGUUGGAAAGAUACCUAGUUGAAGAGCCUAAAUUUGAGAAUUUUGAUAUCUUAAUUUGGUGGAAAGUUCUAAUUUCCUUUACUUUAUCGUUGACUCGAAAUGUAUUGCAUAUUCUUAUGUUGAAUGUGUAUUUAGCACGGGUGGUCGUAUUCUUGAUUCAUUUAGAAGUUUAUGGACUCCCAAAUGUGUGUAAUGUCUCUUAUUUGUGUCCAAAAUUGGCUUAUACUAAUCCUAUUUGUGUUGAACGAAUUUGGAGUUUCUUGAGAAAAUUCAACUUGGUAAGUCUUUAUAUUUUUUGUUUGUUUUCGCAAAAAAUAAGAUACUUAGUUUUGUCUGACAUAUUUGAUUUUAUUAUUUUUAGAGAUGACAACUAGUGAAAGAAACUCGAUCUAUGUUGGUAAUUUUCAAGUAUUUAGUAAUGGUGAGUUCAAUAAGAUAUUUAUUUGAUUAUUCCUUUUUUUCUAAUCUUAAAAGUAGUAUUCUAACUUUGGGUUUUAUCUUAAAAGUUCAAGUUGUCAAGAUAUGAAGAAGGUUGUAAAGUACUAUAGUUUUUCUUUAUUGUUGGCACUUGGAGUGGUCUUAUGGAAGAAACUAAAUUCUUGAAUCUUGAUGGAAAUUUUGGUGUGAUUUGGCCAUUACUGAGUUUUGUUAUUGUCAAAAUAUUAAUGUUUUGUAGUUGAUAUGUGGUGAAUAAUUGUGAGUCCAUUGUUACUUGUUAGUGUAAUGAGUGGAGAACUCAUGGAUGCACAUAUGGUGAAUUAUUGUUACUUGUUAGAUUGUCAUUGUUGUGUAAUGACAUGGUCAUUUGUGUUUGUUAAAUUGUUAGUGCCAUUUUGGCUUUCAUUUUCUUUUACUUAAGAGAAAGAAAUGUCCCAAGUCCAGACUACUAGGGAUGUUCGGUACAACAUAUUCAAAAAUUGAAAUGAACUAUCGAAUGGGAAAAAUAUUAUUGAAUUAUUGUGUGUCUACAUUAUACAUAGAAACCCUAUUUAUAGACACUAUAAUACAAUCCUUUAGCAAGUCAGAAACUAUAUAUUAUUCCUAUUACUAUUCAUAUUCUAAGUGGGAUUGUGUAUAACCAUUCCUACUCUAAAAACACUUUCCAAUUAUAGAAAUGUGUCAUUUUUUUUUUCUGAAAUAGACUAAAAAGGAAAGUUUGUCACAUAAAUCGGUAUAGGGGGAGUAUUACGAGUGCAAGAUUUAAUGCAUAAAUAACUUAGCUCCUAACCAACUACCAACUGACCCCUAAAAGUUUAUAUAAUGUUAGUUAAAUGGUUUUUUGUCUACUAUCAAGUUAUUCAAAGAACAUUUACGGGUAAGCCUUUACCUUAGAAUAAGAAAUUUGUAUCUUAACAAAUAAAAUAUACUACUUCCCACUUUCUAAAAAAAGGGGAAUAUACUACUUGCCCAGUUUUGAAUGAUGUGAUUAUCUCAUUAGAAAACAUAAAUAGUACCCCUAGUUUACUUUAUUUUUCCCUUUGUGUGUAAGUUACUAGGAAAGAGGGUGUAAAAGAUUCAAGUUCUGAGUUAAGUAAUGAGUGGCGGAUUACCCCUAGGUUAUCCACAAUUUUUGAUGAAUAGUAUGGGCUGAUCCAUAUUUGACCCACUUUUGAAAUGAUCGGAUAUCCAACCCAUACAAAAUGGUUGGGUCGGGUGAAGUGGAUGGCCAUAAAUUUCCACCAUUUUGACACCCUUACAUCUUAUACUUUUUUGAUGCAAAGUAACCAAUGGUAUUUCUAGUUUUGAUAAUUCAUGCUUUUGAGUGUCUCACCUAAUGCAUGCCUAGGUUGUUGAAUCCAUUGCUUUACGGGUAGAAAUAAAGUUUUCUUUAAAAGGCGUUUUUCAUGAUAUGAAUGUAGAGGAUGGGUGGUUCUUCACUACACUUUGUUCCAUUUGUAUGAUACUGUCACUAUUUGAACAAUAAUUCUUUUUCCUUUGAUUAUAAUUUUAAAACUUUUCUUAUUAAUGCGUAAAAUUGAAAUCAAUUUGCUUUAUGUAGUUUACUAAAUGAAAAUGUAAGUUUUACUUUAAAAUUUUGAAGAAAAUAUCCGGAUUCACACAAAAAAUUUGAUGCUUUUAGUUUGUACUUCGAUUAUCGCCAUUCGACAACCCAUUAUGUAAAGGAAGUCAGAGGUUUUGUGCUUGAAGCAUUUCCCUCCCUCUUUUGUGUGGUGGUGCAUAUAUGGGAGGUGCACUAGAAACUGGCUUGAAGCUCUCUUCUUACUAACAAACUGAUAGUUGAUAGCUGUUGGCCAUGUCUACUAUCAAAACCGCUCCAAUGUAAAAUAAUAGCGUUAAACACGGGAAUGUGUGUCUACAGCUUAUUGAGGAGUUUGUUGUGAAGUACUUACUGUUCUAAUUAUUUCCUGUCUUUUACUCUAUAAAAUUUGGAUGUGAAGUACAAAUUAGUGCUGAUUCUUUUCCUUUAACUUCGAGUUUAUAUUUUUACGUGAUGUCAAUAGGUGAACUUUAUACUUGGGGCCGAGAUGAAGGGGAUGGUCGCUUGGGCCUUGGACCAGGUCGAGGCCACAAUGAAGCAGGUGGUCUUAGCAUCCCUUUAAAAGUAAAAUCACUUCCUACAGGUGUAGCUGCUGUUUCAUGUGGUGGGUUUUUCACAAUGGCACUUUCAGAAGAGGGAGAGCUCUGGAAUUGGGGAGGUAAGAUUCUAUCGCCUUUUGAUGCUUUUGCCUUAUGAUCAUGUCAAUUUUUUGAAAGGAAGGGUGGUUUGUUCCAGUUGACACCAUUAUUUGUGUUUGAUCCUUAUCAAAAAAAUUAAAAAGAAGGUCGCAUGCUUUUCUUUUGUCAUACAUGAGUGCUGAAAGGUAAUCAUGACUUCAAGUGGAGACAAAAUAUCGCUUGGAUGUUGUCUUGAUUUCUUUAUUGCAAAUUAAGUGGUCUAGAUAGUCUUAAUCCAAAUGCCUUGUUGUGGAACAUAAUCCCUAGUAUUACACUUAACCGUUCCUUCUGUAUUAGUCGAACAUUGAUGUCUCAAACGUCAAGCUAACCCAGAAAUUUCACUUCCCAAGCUGAUGCAAUUCUGUUCAUGAAUUAGUCAUCUGAAUAACAAAUUGCAUGGAUCUGUUCCUUUCUUUUCCUCAAAUGGUAGAUUGCAAAAGGGUCAACUAAUGUUGCAUGGACAGUGUUUGUCUUUUGUGAGACACACACACAAUUUUUGUUAGCGGGUCAUUUCUAAACUGAAGUACAUAGUCAUUGAACAUGUACACAUUUUAAAUAGCGUUUGUUCUUGUCCAUGAAUAUAUAUGACUUCCAAUUAGCAAAUGAAUAACCUAACUCUAAUUGCAUAUUUUUUUGUGUGUAUACACACAAAUACUAAUCUGUGGGCACAUACAUUAACUUAUACACAUGUAUCCUGUGUCAAUCGGUCCCAAACUUUUUAAAACAACAUAUAUGAUAUGGAAAAUCGUUCCUUAUGCUAUUGUAUUAUUCCUUUUAGUUCCUAUAAUAUCUUACUAAGCACAUUUGACCUUUAAUUAAGUAAUAUUUGUGUUUUUAGUCCUUUUACUAACGGAGCCAAAAUACCAUAACGAACUGAUAACUUUACGAAAGGCAGUUCGGUCAAGAUAAAAUUCUCCUAGAGAAUACUUUGUUUUUCAACCAUUCUAGUUUGGAUCAUCCACUAUAUAAAGAAUCCUUUUUUUUAUGCCUUGGCUGCAUAAUUCUUCAAUUGAAGACCAAUUUCUUUUGAAGUUUGUUAGUUAGUUAUCCUUGUGAUGAACUUCACAAUUGGAUAUGGACAAAAUGUAGGUACAGUGAAAUUGGAAGCAUUUGCAGUGGUGUCUUGUGGGCUACGUUUCUUGACCUAUCCACCCUCUUCUCUAACCUCACAAGUUACUAUUAGAUUAGCGUAACUUAAUUAUAACUUGUGAUCAUUCUAGGAUCUUGCACAAUUAUUAUAAGUAUUGAAACAGGUUUCACAUUAAUGAAGUAGUAUCAAAAGAGAAAUGCGAGGAAAAGAAUAAAAUUGGGAAAAGCUGAUAAUAGACUUCGAAUAUUGGAGCAAAAUACACCCACCCCUGCCAUGAACUGUGCACUGAAUUUUAUUUUCUAAAAACAUGUACGAUUUGGUUAUAUAUAAGCUUCGAAAGUAACAAAUUUGCAGUUGUUUUGGUUUUCAACUUAUUGUGUGUAGUUACUGACAACUAAUCCACCAAAAUAAUACAAGAAGAAUUCAUGAAGUACAAUCGAAAUGAAAAUUUAAAUAUCCAAUUGGCCUUAAAAAAUAAUACAAUAACACAGGGACUAAAAUAGCUAUAUCCCCUACAUGUUAUUAUCAUAACAUGUGGGAUAUAUUAAAUGGAAGUUGGAAUGACAAAAAUUCUCAAAAAAUGUACCUCCUGCUUACUGGAAUUUAAACCACAACAUUUCCGUUACAAUGCUGUGGCUUUGGAAGACCAAGAUCCCUCCAAAACUCUUGAUUUACCUGGUUAGUGGCUAGGAAUGCAUGCCUAACACAUGAAAGACUACAAAAAAGUGGUUUGCAGAUUUGCUCACAAUGUCUACUAUGUGAUUAGAUGCGGAGACACAUGGCCACCUUUUCAUCCAUUGCAAGACAACUGCUAAUAUGUGGUACAUGCUCUAUCGUAGUUUAGAUCUCAGUUGGGUCACAUCUAAAACUACCUUUGAGUUGCUCAACAACUGGAAAGGUAUAGGUAGAAGAAAUGGGGAGGAGAAUUGGUGGCAGCUGAUCCCAGCCUGCAUAUGGUGGAUAGGUUGAUAACUUUUCGAAGACACAAGCAACCCAACACAAACUUAGGAUGAGUUCCCUUAGUCUAUUAUAUAUUUGGUGUAAACAGUAUUUCUUAUAUGUUAUAUCACCUUUAUAAAUAAAAGAAUAUAUGUUUCAUUUUGUACAACGAUGUUAAACGAAUUUUAUUUGAUUAAAAAGUUAUUUGUCUAAUAGCAUUUUAGUUUGAGCCUUCUACUUGUAAUAAAAUGUAUGUAUGUAUUUGUUUCAGAUCAUCUGUUGCUCUUAAAUCCAGCAAGUUCAGCGCCCCAGCAUAAUAAUAAACCAGACCCAUAAUGAUGAACAAGACCUAGAUACAAACUUGAUGAAGCAUCAAGUCUUGUGCUCCCAGGGCUUUGAUCUGGUGGUAAUUGUGAACAUGUGAUAUGGGGGCUAGGCGUACAUCACAACCUACCAUAGUUAAAAGCCUGGUAUUUAAAUGGAGAAGGGUAGAGGGGUGAACCUAUAAAUCUGCUGAGUUUCAAACCUUGUGCCAUUGGCUCCAGGGUUUUCCCCAUUAUAAAUAAAUAAGUAUCGAGUCUUGUACUUCUAUUUUGAUACAGGUAAGAAUAAUAUCAAGUCUCGUGCUAAGUUCUAGAAUAGAUAUUGACUUUAUCUGGUAGAGGACUGGACAUUCCAGCAUUGUUCUUUUUUCUCUACUUUCUUGGAUGUAUUUUGAGCAUCUUAUUGCCUAUUACAUGACCUUUCUUUCGAUCAAUAACAUUUCUGGUCUUUUCUUUUCUCAGCCAAUUCAAACUAUGAGCUGGGAAGAGGUGACAAAUUAGGUGGUUGGAAACCACAACCAGUUCCAAGCCUUAAAGGUGUUCGUGUUAUUCAGAUAGCUAGUGGGGGAUAUCAUUCUCUAGCUUUGACUGGUAGCUUACAGUGAAACUCCUCUAUGUAACAUGCAUCUCUGAUCUAUGUAUCUGAAAUACUUAUUUAGAAGUAUCCUUUACUCUCAGAUAAAGGAGAAGUGCUUUCAUGGGGUCAUGGAGGCCAUGGUCAACUGGGUAAUUCUUCUCUUCAAAACCAGAAAGUUCCCAUCCAAGUUGAGGCUUUGGCCCACGAGAAAGUCAUCUAUAUAUCUUGUGGAGGUUCAUCGUCGGCAGCUAUAACAGGUAAAACAUGUCACAAUCUGUUUGGUUUAGAUGCAUAACAUAAGGAAUAAUGCAGAAAUUGUCAUCCAUUAAGUCGAUGCUAUGAAUAAAGGACUUAUAAGAAAAUUGUUCUCAUCCAAUUGUUCCCACUUCCCAUUGCUGCUUUGGAGACCUGUUGGUUAAUAAGCCAUGACCAGUGCUGUAUGAUCUUUAGCUUAUUGUACAAAGGAUGUAAUGCAUUAAUGAUUAAUUUUGCUGGUGACAGAUGGUGGGAAACUGUACAUGUGGGGCUAUGCAAAAGAUUGUCAACUGGGUGUUCCAGGAUUGCCGGAGAAACAGUCAUCUCCUAUUGAAGUCAAGUUUCUUAUGGAGGAUGAUGGACUUGGGAACCAUAACGUGCUUUCAGUAGCCAUCGGUGCUUCUCAUGCCAUGUGCUUGGUUUCCAGGUCAGGUCACUGAGUGUUGAAAAAGGAUCACUCUGGUUGUAUUAUGACUCAAAAGCAAUGAAGCAGUUCUCUGCAGCUUUUAUUUGGUAAAAUUCCAGGAAUUUUUUUUUUCCAGGAAAAAUUUAGAGUUGGUCCAUUGGGGAUGAACUCUGUUUUCACCAAAUGAGAUCUCCAGAGUUUUGAGUUUCUUUUUCUUGCCUUAGUACUCCGAAAUAAAUAAAAGUUGAGAUGCUUGUUAAUCACCAAACUAGCGGCUAGUAAAAUUAGGGCACAGUACGUGUGCCUUUCACAGGCUUAUCGUGGUCAUAUAGGUUUGUGACAAAGCAGCUUUUGAGCUCUGAAUGUUGUAAAGAAAUAACCAAGACUCUUCCUAGGAAAUGUUUAGCAUCAUCUUGAUUAGCUUUCUUGAUGAUUAGUUUUCCUUGACAUGUUGAUGCUAGUUUUAUAAGUGGUUCACCUUAGAGACAGAAGAGAAUACCUGUUAAGGCUUCAACAUUUGUUUGUAUAAAUGCUAUUUGAGUUACUAUCUGCAAAAGCUCAUUUUGAUGAUUCACUUUUACUUCUUAUUAUCAUUGAUUUAAACUGUUUUGAGUAGUUUGCUCAGAGGAAUACUUUCAAAAAUUUGAUGAUGGAACAUUGGUGAUCUCCCAUUGGUAUUUAUGUUUCAGAACUUGGCCCUUUGGUAGUCAGGUCAUCUAUCAGAGUGAAAAUUCAUUCUUUUUUGGUGAGCUGUUGCAGAGUUGUGGUCUGCAGCAACCAAACUAAGGUUUUACUUCACACUUAGGUACAUGACUAAACUGGGGAAUUCCUUUCCCCAAAGAGAAUUAUCACUUGUGAUUUGACCAUCAAAAUGCCUUGGUCAAGCUGACAUCUCAUAUGAACUUGUCAUGUAUUCUAUCAGUUUUAUUUUGUUGCACAAUGACAUUUCAGCAGACUAGAAAACAAGGGAGUUAGACUCAUGGUGUCAAAUGACCGAGUUGGGCUGAAUUUGAUAGGGCAAAGUCCGUUCAAAAGUUACUUUAGCGGUUGAAAUGACCUAAAGUUUAACUGUUCAAUUCAAAAAUUUUAAUUACUUUGUUCUUUAUAAAUUUUUUUAGUAGAGAAUUAUUUUUGUAUUAUUACUAAUUGACUAUGUAUGCCAUAUCAAGUAAAAGAAUGUUUUUUUUAAAGUAUUAUGACAAGAUUUCUAGUAGGACAAUUCAGGUAUACAUAUCAAUUCAAUAUUUUGAUGGGUUAAAAUGGAUUGAGUUAGUAAAUGGGCCUAAAUUUGAAUGGAAAAUCACACCACGUAUAUAUUUUAGACUUAUAUUGCUGCAAUAAUAAUAUAUCAAGUGAAACUUUACAAGUGGGGUUUAGAGAGAGUAGAAUCAAUGUGCACUAAUGUACCACUAUCUUGAUGUUAAAUAUGUUAUUGUUGAAAGGCCCUAGGCUCGGAUAAAGCAAAUCUAGAUACAAAGAAAAAAAUAUAGCGAGCCAUAAGGAAAUAGUAUAAAGUCAACCUUGAGAGCGCAACAACACAAAAAAGUAUUGCAAAUUUGCAAUAAUCGAAUCAUAAUAAGCAACAUACUAAGAUAUAGACUUGAAAAUAAUAAAUAAUUACAGAUAUCAAAACAAGAACUAUAGCAUUACAAGUAGUACUAACUUGUGAAAGAUAACACUACAUUACCUACUAGCAUUUUAAACCUAACACUUGUCCUCCAUAUCCUUUUAUCUAAGGUCAUGUUCAAGGUAAUCUGAAACUGUGCAUUCUGUCUUAUUACCACCCCGAAUGCUUCUUCUGUCCAUCUUUAUCUCUCCUCAUAUCCUUUAUAAUCAACCUCUUGCACUUUCUCACUAGUGCAUCCACACAUUUCCUCUUCACAUGUCUAAAACAUUUCAGUCGGGCUUCUCUCAUCUUGUUCACCACAAAGGUCACUUUCACUUUAUUCUUAAUAUCCUCAUUUCUAUUCUUAACGCACACACAUCCACCUAAGCAGUCGAACCUCCACAACAUGUAUCUGUUUACGAAUAUGAAAGCGUUGACUAACGCUCCGCCUCAUAUAACAAUGUCGAUCUAACUAUCAUUUUUAUAAAAUUUACCUUUAAAUUUCGAUGGUAUAUUUUUUCAUCACACAAAACUCCAGAAGUAAACCUCCACUUCAUCCACAUCUAACUAUAAAAACGAGUCAUUAAAUGAUAUCUUCUCUUUCAUGAUUAAAUUUGCCACCUUUCAACCGUUGGCAAAAGCUUGAAUUUUGACUAAUAAUUACUUAAUGGGUUUAAGAUUUGGACCCUCUAAAAUAAUGGAACCCUUCAAGUUAAAUAUGUAGUAACGUCGUUUUCCCAUAUUAGAUUAAACAUGAUGAUGAAUAUUUGACUGCAUGCACGCCUAUAGAGAAGUGCCCCUACAUCAACUUUGCGUGUUUUACAUAAAUUAUCAUUAUGCUUCAUCAUUUUCUUUCCUCCUCCUUUAUGAUAAAAAUCUUUCUUUUUCAAUAAUAAUUAUAAACAGUUGUGGUCUUAAAAGAGCUACACAUUCUUAUGCCCACUCUCCACUAUCCCACUUAUAGAUAGUGGGGAUUGGGCUGAACAAUUUAUAUUUUCGUUCGUUCUUUUUUAGUUGUUAUGAUAAAGUUUGAUUCAGGAAAGUUAAUGAGGAAUAUCCGUUCACUAAUAUGUCUUUUAUUAUUUUCUCUGUUUACUUUUAUUUGUCAGAGGAAAUACUUUCUCUGUUCAAUAAUAGUUGUCCACCAUUGACUUAGCACAUCCCUUAAGAAAGUAUAAUAGAAGGAUAAUUCUACUAUCUAUAUCACGUACUCUUUGAAUAUAAUAAAUGCUAUGUCUUAAAAAAUGUAAUAGGAAAAUGUUUAUAUAAUUAAUGAUACGGGUAAAUUAGGAACUACGUGUAAAAUUAUUCAUGAAUUUUCAUAAAAUGGACAAAUAUUGUUGGACAUCUAUUAUUAGUAUAUUGGACAAGUAUUGUUGGAUGAAGAAAGUAAAUUUUCAUUUUACUUAUCAGUUUUGGCAUAUCAAGAAAAUACGAUUACUUUUUCUUUUCAUGUUUUAACCUUGGCAUCAAAUAUUAUUCUCUAUAUCAUUUUUCAAGAUUCAAUACUAAACAUCAAUUAGUAGAGACAAUAUGGUAAAAAUAUUUAUAUCAGUAAUUGUUUUCUUAAUGAGUGUGCCAAGUCAAACAAUGACUAGCAAGGGCAGACCCUCAUAGAGUCUGUCGAUGCUCGAGCAUCCAUUAACCUUGUAUCAUAUUAUAUGUAUCGAUGUAUAAAUUAAGAAGCAUUUCUAUAAGCUUAACGCAAAGCACCCAAUAAUCAAGUGGAUUGAUUGGCCCAAUGGCUUAUAAUGGGUGCUUAAGAUUUUUUUAACGUUGUUGAACUUGAGUCCGAAUCUCACUCUCAACAUAUUUUUCCUUUUUUAAGUAUAUUUUUUUGAACUCCUUAUAAAAGUGAACAGAGGAAGUAAUUCUUUAAUUUUUAUUAAUAUAUCUCUCUCUUAAUUCUAGCAUAAUUCGUGUUAAUGACAAAGUUAAAAAAAACAAUUAAUUAUUUAAAUUAACAAUUAUUUUGAAACAAAUAUUUUUAAUACACAUGACAACUAAAAAAAUGACGCAAGGAGAUAUUGUCGCGACCCCUCAAUUAAUAGUAAUAAUAAUUCGUUUUUGGGACCAAAAUUAGGUACAUUCUUGUAAUAACCUGAUCCAGUUGACCACUUUUUAAUUCACCAUUUAGUUUUUAUUAUUUACUUAUAACCUUAAAGAAGUAGUGGUUGAAGUGGUAGAUAGACGACCAAAUAUCAAAUGUUUCAUUUAAACGGUAAUAAAUUUUUUUAAUUUAGGAGUUAAUUACUUAAAUACAUUUUACUUUGUAUUAUUAUAUAUAUUAUUAGAUUUUCGUGUUAUUAGAUAUACUCAAAUACAUGUCUUUAGAAUACAUGAAAUUAAAAUUAAUUGUAAUUUAUUCUUAAUCAAGUGGAUUGGCAUGAAUCUGGUAUAUAUAACAAAUCUCACUCACCUCUCUCAUCUCGCUCGUCACUCUCCAUCUCAGAUAUGUGCGAAUCACAUCAAAUACAAACGAAUCUCACUCGUUAAUAUAUCUUAAACUUUUAAUUAAUAGUAAAAUAGGUAACAUUUUCAAAGUAUAUAUAAUAAUAGUAUAUAUCCCAGCGACGUAUCUCUAAUUAUAUAGUUUUUCCCUUUAUUUAUUUCCUUCUCCUGUGUGAACAAGGAAUAAUUCUGUCAAAACUUUAAGCGAAUUAGAUAUCAAUAUCAUACGGAUAGUUCAAGAAUUGGCUGGCCCUUUUGUUAUGUCGUUUGUACAUGCACUUAUUAGAAUGAACAAAAACUAAGGGGUCCCAUUAUUAUCACUCAUUAUGUUAAAAAUAAUUUUUAGCUUUAAUAAAUAUUAAUUUUAAUAAAGAGGGCUAAAAAUUUUAAUGACAUUAAUAUAUUAUGAUUUUUAAUUAAUCCAUUUUUAACCUGGCCAUUUGUCACUCUUAAUUAGUUAUUGUAUAAUAAUUAAAUCUCUCUACAACAAAUAUCAACAAUGAAAAUAUUUCACUUUAAUAACUAUAUUAUUCUUCAAAUUAGUUUUCCAUAUUAUGUUAUAUCAUAUAUUUUUAUAAGGGUAAAGGGUCAAAUAUACCCAUAUACUAAAGGAAAGAGUCUAUAUAUACCCUUCAUUAUACUUUCAGUUCAAAUAUGCCUCUCAUGUUGUACUUUGAGUCCAAAUAUACUUCUCUUUGGUACAAAUAUACUCUUAACUUUGAUGGAAAAACAUAUGACAAACUCAAAAUCAAAUUAUUUACUCUCAAUAUGCUUAGAAACUAAUUUGUGUAACUCAUCCAACUCAUUCCCUUCGUUUUUAAGCUCUUAUUUUCAUUUUUCUCAUUCAUUAUUCUAUUCUUAAAUUUCUUGUACCAAAAAUAAUAAUAUAUGCAUAUCACGCUAUAUCAUUAUGCUGCAUUUUUCUCUCACAAAUUAUAAAAUUAAUCAUUGUACCCACAUCUUCUUACUAUUAUAAAAGAACAAGAAAAUAAUAAACGUAGGGAGUCAUCGAUUUUUGGAUGCUGAAAAUUCUUAGAACGUAUCUCAGUAGUGUAUUUUCUUGAUUAAUAUUGACACUUUUUAGAAGACGUUAAGCAUGAUAUUUUUUUUUUUAAAAAAACCUCAAUUCGAAAGAAAAAGAAAAACCAUAUUAAUUUUUGAAUACGAUAAAUUAUUACCUUCUUUUAAGAAGAAGAUGCAAAGAAAAAAAAUCAUAGUAGAGGAAAUGAGUUUCUAAAAGAAUUAAGUAUUUAAAAUCCGAGAUGCGUUAUUUGAUUUUUAGCUUGUCACGUGUUUUUCGUUAAAAUUGAGGGUAAAUUUGUGUCAAAGUAUAAUUAGAAGGAUAUAUUUGAACCCAAAGUACAACGAAAGAGGUAAAUUUAGACCUAAAAUAUAACAAAGAAUAUAUUUAAACUAUUUCCAAUGGUACAAUUAUAUUUGACCCUUUACCCUUUUUAUAAUAAUAUUGUGAUAUAUCAAUAGAAUAAAAUAUCUUAACAAAUAUACUAUUAUAAAAAAUUUCACAAAAGAAAUAUUAUUAUAAAAAACCACAAGAGGAUCAUAUGGUGAAUGGAUGAGAUUAUUAAUCAAAUAUUUUGAAUUUGAACCUUAAACAUUAAAAAAAAUUUAAACAUCUCGAGUUCAACCCCUAAAUAUGACAUUGUAUAAUUUUUUUUAUAGACAGCACUUCCUCCCAAUAUAAGACCUACUAUCAAGCAUCACAUGGAAAAUUAAAAAAAAAAACUACUAUAAAACAAUUUGAUUGUGCUAUAAUAUAAUUCUCUGUGGACUCCAUUAUGGUUCUCAAAAGCAUAUAGUAUAUAUAUCAAAAAGGGAAAAAGACACCUGCUCCAUUUCCUAUCAACAGAGCACAAUGUCUUUUUCAUUCAAAUACACAAGCAAUUUAAUUUUUUAACCAACUCGAAUCCCCACAAUGACCAAAAAAGAUUAAUUUUAUUAUAUUCUCUUUAGUGUUUGACACCCAAAGAGAUUAAAAAGUUUAGAUUAAUUUUAUUAUAUUCUCUUUAGUGUUUGACACCCAAAGAGAUUAAAAAGUUUUUAACUUCUCUGAUUAUUAAGACGUUAUAUUGUCUCUUCUUGUGGCCCAAAAUAUCACUAUUUUUCAUAGUCACUUAAAAAAUAACUAGUCGUGUCAUAUGAGGGAUACAAUAUAACUUAUAAGAAUUUCAAAUUAGUUGUUAUAUAUUUAAUUCUGAGGUUGUAUUAUUUUUCUAGAGGAGCUAUUAAUAAUGUAGGUAUUAAUUAUGUAAGUAUUGAUUAGGUAGUUUUAUAAUACAUUAGUGAGCUAAUUCUUUUUUUUAAUUUCCAAAAAAUUUUAGUGAACUAAUAAUUAUCAUACCCGUUAAAAUAAAUAACUAUCUAAAUAACAUAUUAGAAUUAAAUAAAUACCAAUAGCUAAAGAUAAUAAAGUAAAUAACAAAUAAAUAGCAAUUAUGUAAUCUAUAUAUUGAAUAGGAUUAAUCAAUUUAAAGUAAAUAGCCAAAAAUUUAAAAUAGAUUAAUGCAUGUAUGGAUGUGCAUUGCAAAGAGAUUAAUUAAAGGCUUAAGUCAUAUACCGCUCCUCAAAGUUGUCUGCGUAAUUCACUUAGACACCUCAACUGAGACUUGUACCUAUUGAACACCUAAAUUGUUCAAAACAUGUACCUAUUAGACACAAAAUGCUGAUAUCGCAAAAAUUGUGUAUUGCAUUUUUCUGAAGCGCGUGAAAAGACUUAAAAUAGUGUCUUUUUUAUUUAUUUUUUUAUAUUUUUUCUUCUUUUAUUGACACUUGGCAUUAUAAUUAACUUUAAAUAUUUUCUUCUUUAUUUACACUUUUUUCAAAAAAGAAAACACCCCACUCCCUAUAUAUCAUCUUCUUCAUAAUUUAGUUUACAAAACUUUCUUCAUUUUAGCUCUAACACUAUUUUUUUUCUUUUUUAUAAACAAAAAAUUUAUAUCUUCCAAAUAUGAAGAUAAAUGAAAAUCAACUAUAAAGAUUCAGAUUUAAAAGAAAGUCUUCGUAUGAUUUAUUUCAAAUCUCAUAAAAACAAGGAACAAGUAUGAAGAUGAAAAAAGAUAAAUGAAUUUUACGUAUAAAAAUAGUUAGCCGAUAUUUAUUUAUCACAAUUUCAAACAAAGAUUUUUACUCAAAUUCAUAUGUGGUCAUUAAAUUUAUCAAAAAUGAUAUAAAAAAAAUUGAUAGAAAUAAUUUUGGAGCUAUCAAUUUCAUUUUGUCAUCGAUGUAGAAUUGAAUAAUCGCCAACAAAAGUUUCUUUCUUCUUCACUCUUAGUAUGAAAAAAAACAUAAUCUUGAAGUUAUUUCAAAAGAAUAAGAUUUUGUAAUUUGAGAAAGAAUGUGUUUUGGGGAAGAAGACGAAGAUGAAAGGGGGUUGGAGUGGGGUGGGGUAAGGUGGGGUAGAAUAGGUUGACAUUUUCAUUUUUCUUUUUUAAAAAAUUAGAUAUUAAAUGUGUGUGGAAAUUUUUCAAAAUGUCAAUAUUUUAGCAUUUAAGAGGACUCAUUAGCAACAAUUUCAAUAUUUAGUAAAAAUAUCAUUUUAGUUUGUUAUGUAUCUUAUUUAUGUUUUUAUUAUUUAUUUUUAUUUAAAGAGUAUAAUUAUUUAAUAACAAAAAGGAGAAAAUUAAGGAGGGGAAUAUUUCAAAAAAAAAAAGGCAAGCAUCCUUAAUUUUCUCAUCAGUUACAUUUUCAAAUAAAAUUUAAAUUUUAUUUUUUUUCUCCAGAAUUUUUAUCUUUUUAAAAUUAUAUUCAUUCCACAAUAUAUUUUAUUUAUAUUUAUUAUAGUUUUUUAUUAGUUUGUAUUCAUUCCAAUAGGUAUGCCGAAUUUAUCUAUAUAGUCAUUUAAGAAAUAUAUUUGUAUUUUCAUAUAUUUUUUCUCUAUAUAGUUAUUUUUUUCUUCAAAAAUCCUGUAUGUAUUCAUUUCAAUAUGUAUUUUAUUUGUAUUUUUAUUUAUUCUAGUUUUUAUUUAGAAUUUUGUAUAAUAAUAUAUAAAAUACAAAAAAUUAGUAUGAUGAAAAAGUGAAUGAAAUAUAAAAUUGAAAAGAAAUAAUUGAAUAUUUGGUGUACUCAUUCUUAAAUAAAAUACAUAACUAGUUGACAUACCUUUAGAAUAAAUACAAAUUAGAAAAAAAUGUCAAAUUCAGUUGUCAUACCUUUAUUAGUUUGUAUUCGUUCCAAUAUAUAUGUCAAAUAAAAUGUAGCUAUUUAAUAAAUAUAUUUGUAUUCGUAUAUAUUUUUCACUGUGUAUUUAUUUUUCUUUUCAAAAUCUUGUUUCCUUUUCUAAGUCGUAUUCAUUCCAAUAUGUCUAUUAUUUGUAUUUGUAUUCGAAUACAAAUAAACUAAUAGAAAGUUGUUCUUCUUAUAAAUAAAAUACAUAACUAGUUGACAUACAUUUGGAUGAAUACAAAUUAGGAACAAAUACAAGAUUCAUAAACCAUGAAACAUGAAAUUUUUAAUAAAUACAAAUAUUGAUAGUAUACAUAGUGAUUUGAAUACAAAUUAAGAAAGCAUACCAAAUUCUAAAUAACUAUAAAUACAAAACAAACUAAUAGAAAAUUGUUCGAAAACUAUCCGAUCUUCGUCGUCUUUUUCAAGAUCCUCACGAGUAGACAAAGAUUCUACAUUUGCGUUCUGAAUUUGAGAAAAGUUUUGCACACCAAUGAGUCUUGUAAAUGUUCUUACCCUCUUUGUUCCCUCAUUUUAGCAGUGGAUCAUACAUUAUACACUAUUUGUUAAGUAAUAAAUAAAUUAAAGGAUGAAAAAUCACCAGAAAUUGGUUGAUUAAGAUGAAUACCUCUAGUAAGCCUCUUGGAUUCAGUCAUUGGAGAGUAAAUCAUAACAGAAAUUGAAAAAUACAAACAACAUUUUUUUAAGAUUUAAACAAAAAUAAAAUUAGAAAAGAAAUCUGAAAAUAGGAUAGAGAUUAGAGAUACCUUAAUCAAAGGGAUUCUCGUUGAUUCAAUUUUGGAUUAAAAAAACAACCAAAAUAUAUGACAAAAAAAAUUUUUGCAACUUGAAUGUUGAAGGAAAAUCAGAAAAGAUAAUCAUGAGAGUAAAAAAAUUAAAUGAAAGAGAGAAUUAACAAUUAAAAAAGAUAAAUAUGAGAGAAAAUGUUUUUUUUUAUUUUUAAAAAAGGAUGUAUAGAAUUAAUUGAAAAAGAGAGAUAAAAUAGGAAGAAAAUUGAGACACAUAAAUUUUUUAAAAUAAUGACAUUUUUGACAUUAUUGCUAAUAUUUAUAAAGUAUGGAUAUUUUUACUAAAUAUGUUACAUAUUUUGACUAGUUUACUAAUUUUCCCUUUUUUUUUUAUAAUUUUUGGGCCCAAUGCCAAAUGUUAUUUUUUAAUUAGUCAUGUUGCCACGUCACCGCAAGUGUAUCACACACUCUUCACAUUUUUUGUUGAUUAUCAAAAAAUGUCUAAUAGAAACGAUUAUUAUAUAGAUAAAAGUGUUCGAUUGGUACUACUAUUAGUUGGAGCGUCUAAGUGAAUUAUGCGGACAACUUUAAGAGACGCUGAUGACUUAAGCCUUAAUUAAAUAAACAAGAAACUAAAAUAAUCAUUGUCUUACCGCCAAAGAAAAUAAUCAACUAGAUUCAACAUAAUAAAACAACUAACAAGAUAAGAAAUUUUUGGUAGUGCUUCUUUACGUGUAUUAAUGUAUUUGAUUUGUUGUAAAUUAGUAUACAUCUAUUAAAAAGGUAAAAAGUAAUUGAUAGCGAUAAAUGUGUAAUUCACAAGUUUUAUACAUGUAUAAUUAAUGUUCGCAUAAUUUAUUACACCUUCUAUCCUGCAUAAGUUAUACACAGAUUUGCUCUCAAGUUAUGCAAGCAUUACUAAAGUAGGAUUACAUAAAACGCAACCAACUACCGUAUACAUGAAUAAUUUGUAUACAACAUUUGGAACCAACCAACCAAACAUUGUAUAAAGUUAAUAUAUGAAUAACUUUUGUCCUAUUUUUAAAGCAAACAUAGUGUAAAAUUAAUUCAUGUAUUAGAUGCAGCUUUAACUUGUUCGUUUAUUAAGAUGAUAUUAUUGCACAAGUAAGUGUAGAGAAUAGCAGAAGUAAAGUAUAAUCAGAGAACCCUUCUGCUAGCUCAAGAUCAUUAAGUAAGAUCAGAAGAUUCAACCGAAGAAAAAGAAGUUAGAAAGGAGGACUAGAUAUGAAAGAAGACUCUUAUAACGGUUUUUUUUCUUGAAUGCAAAUGUACGAGACCAUCCCCUAUUUAUACUUGUCUAUAGAUAAUUCUAGAAACUUUUCUAGAUACAUCUACAAGAAAUAUCCAGAUAUCUUUUUAGGAUACAACUUUUCUAGUACAUCUAGAUAUUUAUUCAAGAUAAUUUCUAAAUUUCUACUAUAGGAUAUUCUAGAAAAAUCUAUGCUAUUCAAAAAAUCAUUUUUAACUUCUUUCAUACUCCCCCUUAAAGUAAGUUUUUGGAACUAUCCCAAUCUUGCCGCGAGAAAAUUCAAAAGAAGUUUUUGAAAGUGAUUUGGUGAAGAUAUUUGUAAUAUUCUCCUGAUUUCGUACCUCCGCGUAUAUAAAGUUCUAUCAAGAGCUUUUUCUCGAAUGAAAUGAUAACGUUUCACCUCAAUAUGCUUAGUUCUUGCAUGAAAUAUCGAAUUGUUUGCAAGCUUGAUGGCGCAUUGGUUGUCUCCGCAGAUUGUAGUUGGCUUUGAUAUAGAUAGAUGAGAAUUUUUAGCAAGUCUUUGGAGUGAUACACAUUCUUGAAUAGUAAGAGUUAGUGCUUUAUAUUCUGCCUCCAUAAUUGAUAAAGAAAUUGAGUCUUCUUCUUGAUGCACCAAGAAAUCCCUAUUCCACCACAAAGAAAAAUAUAGUCUAAUGUAGAUCUUCGAUUAUCUAUAUCACCAUCAAAAUCUGCGUCAGUAUCAAGCCAUUUUUUCUUUUAAAAAUAGGUCCAUAUCUGAUGUUAAGUUGCUAUACUUUAAAAUCCUCUUUGUAGUAAUAGUCAAAUACAAGAGACUUCCUACAAGAGCUCGGUAAGAUUUGGGAUCUACAAGAAGUGAGUCUUCUUCACACCUUAGCCUCAUGCUAGUCUUCAAAGGCGUAGAAAACAUUUUGCUUUGUUUCAUUCCAAAUUUGUCCACAAGCUUCUUGGCAUAUCCUUCUUGGACAACAAAGACCCCUUUACUUGUAUUUGUUAUCUCUAAGACAAGAAAAUGAUGUGAUUCUCCCAACUUCUUGAUAUCAAAUCUUAGGGCAAAUUCUUCUUGAAGCCUUGCAACUUCAUCAUCAUUGUUUCUUGUUAUUAUCAUAUCAUCCACAUACAAGAGAACAACCACAUGCAAAUAUCCUUGUUUUUAAAGAAACAAGCUAGGAUCUAAAUAUGAAAUGGUAUAGCCACAGAAAUAUAAAUAUUGAGCAAUUUUUUCAUACCAUUCUUGUGGAGCUUGCUUGAGUUCAUAUAAUGUUUUUUUAAGUUUACAAACAUAAUCAGGAUAUAAGUUAGAAACAUACUCGAUAGUUGCUUUAUAUAAAUAUCUCUGUUAACUUCUCCAUAUAAGAAAUCAUUUUUCACAUAAUAGUUGCCAAGCGUAUGAGGCUUCCAUAGCUAGUACAACUCGAACUGAGAUCAUCUUAGCCACCAUAUGAAUAUUUCUUAGUAGUCUUUGCCAUAUUUUUGAUAUGAUAAAUUCCUCGAGCAAUCAAUCUAGCUCUAUGUAUGUCUAUGCUUUCAUCUGUUCUUUUGAUUUUGUAAAUCCAUUUGCAAGUAUUAGAUUGUGUCCAUCACAGUUCGAGUUCAGAUAGGUUUCAAUUAUUUUUACUUGUACCCUAGUGCUUACUCAACUUGGCAUAGUUCAUUGAGUCUCAUGCCCUCAUACACACAAGCAACAAAGGCACAGUAGAAAGAAAGCAUCGUCAAGUAGUUAAAAUCGGCCUUAGCCUUCUUGCUCACAAUUUGAUUCCUUUUCGCUUUUGGCACUACACACUUGAGUAUGCUGUUAUUUUAAUUAAUCAUCUUCCUUCCGUCACAACUCAUGGUCUCUGUCCGUAUGAACUAGUCCAUCAUUCCAAACCUGAUUAUUCUUUUCUUAAGGGCUUUGGUUGUCUAUGCUUUCCUUACGUUCGACCAUACAAAAAACACAAGUUUGAUUUCCAAAACAGAACUUGUGUAUUUCUUGGCUAUAGUCCAUCUCACCUAGGGUAUCAUUUUUUUGGAUUGGUCCACGGAACGUAUUUAUGUUGCUCGACAUAUUCACUUUGAUGAACAAAACUUUCCAUUCGACAAGCCAUUUAUCCUUGGCCCUGCACCAAAUCAUGCUCCAUCUAACACAUCUUGGGCUUCCCUUCCGAUCUUCUUCUAUCGCAUCUCUUUCUCCUUUUCUGCUCAUCCUACUCAAUCACCUACGCCACCAGUAAUAUCCUACCAUUAAUUUAGAAGGCUCUUUGUCUAACUCUUUAAGUCCCGAACACACUACCAGUACACCUAUCAAAGCUCAAACUAUGUCCUCUUUGGAUGCUUCCACUCUACCAUCAAAUUCUCUCCAAGGUGAUCCUAAUAUCUCUUCCCCUGUUUGCCUCCUAAUGUCGAUUAAAGUAUCUCCAACAUGCUCCCAGAAUCUUCCCCAUCUUUGCUGCCUCCGCCAACGCAUACCAAUAAACUCACAGCCCCUCCCAACGCUCACAGCAUAUGAAUCUUAGUCAUAUUCCCCCGUCCGCAAAUUUGGCCUCCACUUCAGAUCUAUUACCCUCUUCCACAUGUGAGCCAUCAUGUUCUACUGAAGCUUCCAAACAUAAAAAGUGGUGGGCUGCUUUGGCAUUUGAAAUGGAUGCAUUAUUACGGAACGACACAUGCUGUUUGGUUCUGUAUGAUCCCUCAAUGAAAAUUCUUGGGUGCAAGUGGGUGUUUCGAGUAAAAAGAAAUUCUUCUCGUGCGAUAGAGCGCUACAUGGAUCGCUUAGUUCCAAGGGAUUUCACCAACUCCAAGGUCAUGACUACUAUGAAACGUUCAACCCUAUUGUUAAGUCGAUCGGUGGCUAUGUUAUCUUCGUUGGUGCUACUCUCAUAUCUUAACUAUAAAAGGGGUAAUAGGACGUUAGAAUAGUUAAGGUGUGUUUCUGGGAUUUCAGUGAUAGUCUAGAGGGAUAUUUGUGCAUUUUCCCGUAUACAAAAAUAAAGUUCAUGAGUUAAUAAAACUUUAACAUGUAAUUGACAAUUUCACCGUAACAGUCCUAUACUUUGGGCCUGUUUGGCCAUAUUUUCCUAAAUAAUAUUUGGGGGGAAACUUGACAAAUAGUGUUUAUCCACACAUUUUGUCAUUAUUUGACAAAUAUCCCAAAUUCUCAAAUACUAGUUUUUCUAGUAUUUGGAUCAAAUCUCAUUAUUUGGGAUCUUUUAAAAAUUGAAAUUUUAUCCAAACUUUUAUCUUUUAUAAAAACACCCUCUAUAGUUGUUGCUUACUUUGUAUUACAUAAUUUUUUACGUUAAUUCCAAAGUAGUGAUAAAAUAUUCGGUGAAUGUUAAAUGAUAAUAUGAUUAUUGAUAAAAAUGAUGAACAAUCGGCUCUAGAUAACAAAGUCAUGUGUUUUGUCUACUUCGGGAUGUAUGAAAUGAUGCUUGUUGCACUCACUCCAAAUCACCACAUUGCUCUAGUGUCAUAGACACUAUUUUUUAUUGUUGUAACAAAGAUCCAAUUAACUUGUAUUACAAACUUAUAGUUAGUUUUGAUAUUUUUAAAACUUAUGGUAUAAAUCAUAUUUUUCUAAAAAAAGUGAAAUAUAUUUCCCAAAUAGUAUGGCUAAACACAUGGUGAAAUUUCACCCAAAUAAUAUUUGCCAAAAAUAUUUUAAAUCUAUGGUCAAACGCUAACUUUAUAUAUGUUUAGAAUUGAUAAAAAAAAAGUUUGACAAUUUCACUAUAAUAGUCUUAUACUUUAUAUAUGUUAGAAUUGAUAAAAGAAAGUUCUAUCAAAUUUCAAAAAGUUACAGGAUCAUAGUGUACCAAUACUUUUACUAGUAAUACAUAAUUAUAAAUUAUGCUCAAUCAAAAAAGGAUUACAAUCGUUCAAAUUAGUAACUUUAUCCUAAAACAAGAGACUAAUUUGAAUUUUAAAAAAAAAAAUUGAGAACACUGAACAAUCAAAAUAUGUAUACGUAUUAUAUGCAUCAUCAUCAUGUGCUGUGCUGACAGAAACUGAACUUUCUUGAACUCAAAUAUUUUAAACUUACGCCAUGGAAGUAUUAAAAGCAGAGCACUGGUUCACUGGUCUCGAUAUCUGUUCGCCGGCGCUAGCCGGACAAGCCAUGAACCCCACCGGCACCGGUGGAACCAUACAAUUGUACGAUAAACACAAUGCUACUGAAUCCGGCAAUGGUAAUCCUUCUUUCACUGGAAACUCAGCAAUGUAAUUAUGUUGCAAAUACAGAGUUCUCGUGCUUCCACUGUAAACACUCUCCACGUAAUCCUUGGGUACUGCUCCCGUGAAUCGGUUGUUGUUAAGAAAGAGUGUUUCUACUCCGGCGAGAGUAUUUGUGAGUUCGCCGGUGAGUGAGUUAUGACUUAGAUCGACGGUGGAUCCAGGGCCGUAUGCGGUGGCGGCAGGGGAGAAUAGCGGUUGUUGUGGGACCCUUCCGGUGAAAUUGUUCCGUUGGAGGUACAUUGAUGAUAACGUGGAUCGGAAGAGUGAUGAAGGGAUGGUCCCACUGAAACGGUUCAUGCUUAAGUCGAGGUACACUAACUCUGAGAGUGAUUCGAGGACGCUCAGUGGUCCCCACAACCGAUUUCCUGAUACUGACAGAUAACGGAGCGUUAACGGCAUUCUCUGCAACAUUCCCGAUAGCUCAUUGUUACUCAAAUCCAAGUGAAGUAACUCCGUCGGUAGAAUCGGGAUCUCGCCGGAGAUUUUGUUAGAUCCCAGUACCACUACCUUCACCGAAGAUAACUCGGAAAUUGAACGAGGAAUUGUUCCAGUGAGUUGAUUGUGACUCAAAUCGAGAGUGUGGAGAUUCGGGAGUGUGAAAAUAGAAGUAGGUAUGGAUCCAGUUAAGCGAUUGUUGGUGAGAGAGAUGACGCUGAGUUUUUUGAGUGUUCCGAUUUGGUCAGGAAUGGGACCCGUUACAAUUCCGGUGAAAAGAAGAAGCUGAGUUAGCUCGGAGAGGUUAGAAAUAGCUGGAGAUAAUAUCCCGGCAAGGCCAGGUGAAUCAGAUAGACCAGUUCCAAGUGUGAGUGUAGUAACGCGUUUAGGAAUGAGCAUAGAGCAAGUAAUCCCAGCAAAUGAGGAGCAUGGGUCCGGAGCAUUGAAGUCCCAGCUGGUGAAAAAUGCAUUUGGGGAAGAUGAAGUAAUGUCGGUGAGGCUGUUUUUGAUUUCACGCAGAGCAGAUAAAUCAACAACACUGAUACCUUCUGCACUCAAAAGAAGGACAAGAGGUAACAACAAAAGAAACACCCUCAUUGCUCUACUUUCUAUCUUGUUUUCUUCUUCCUUUUUUUAGUGUGUUAUCUGAAAAAUGCAAAAUGAGACACAGGUCAAAUAGAAAAAAAGAAAAAGAAGUAAGAAAUACAAAAAGCUCUGGGCUGUCAGAUUCCUGUUUUUAUUUGUGCUCAUGUGCACGCUAUGAAGAUAAUGAAAAAGAAAUCUGAGGUCCCAGAUUGAAUAAAUCAAGUAGUUGCGACUUUUCUCCGGCAAAGAGGAGAGAGAAAGAAGGACUGAAAAUUGUGGGGGCACUAAAUUUUAGAAAGAGAAAGAAAAGAGGUAUCAAUAUUACUUCUCCAACGGUAUAAAUCCGUUAGUAAAAUCAGCUAAAAGGUGUAGUAGGUUAGUUGAGAUCCUUUCAAUUUUGCUCUAGUUUAGUGUAUCCCCUAGUAGACUUCAGUCCCUGGCAGAGAAUUUUUGUUAUAAAAAUGAGCAUACUACAUAAUAAUUAUAUUCUCUAAUUUUAGGUAUACAUACCUAAAUACUUAAAAAAGAUUUAACGUGAGAUUUAUCAUGUUAAAUCUACGUCUGAUAUAACGUGAGAUUUAUCAUGUAAAAAGUUUGUGUCUACUUAUUUAAUUUUAUAAUCGUCAAGUGUUUAUGUAUAUAACCAAAAUAUCAGCUGACCCUACGUUAAUAGACAUGUGUAUGCAUUAUGCAUAUAAAAUUGUACCACAUGCGAAUAAGUCAAUUAUAUCUAUAACAACAUCGUUUGUUUAAAUUAUGUUUCUUUUACUAUUCCAUUCUCUUCUACUUGUCCCUUUUUCAUAAUUAGAUUUUUUCCCCCACUUUUACUUGUCAUUUUUAACAUAUAAAAAGACUUAUUUUGCCUUUUUUAUCCUCUAACUUUAGUACUUAUCCUCUAAAUUAUUUCUCAAAACCUUAGAAUAUAUACAUCAAUUAACAUUAAUAUGAUACAAGCAGUAUUAAUCAUUAUUUCUUUAGAAAAUGCUAAGUCCAAAAUGAAUAAAUAAAUAAUUUUUAUAAGCAAAUUAUAAUGAAAUGUGAUUAUAUAUAAACAAUAUCCUUUACCUCACCAACAUGGGUUGUCAUGCCUGGGUGACAAUCCUUUAUCAUGCCUGGUGACAAUCCUUUAUCCUUAAACGGAGGUCUCGGAUUUGUGGGUAUAGAUAAAAAAUUCUAUUGGAAGCGCUAUCCUCGAAUGGGUUCUGCAGUGCGCGAUACUAAUUUAGUAAGAGCUUCAAUGUGAACUUCUAACACCGAGUGGAGAAAAAUAUAUAUCUUUUACCUCUACCUCCUUGGACAAAAGUAAUUCUUCCACCUCUAGAUAUGGAAUGAUGAGAGCAAGGAAAAGAAAAAGCUACAAGUAAAAAUUAGUUACCACAUAUGACAGAGCUAAGAACAUAAUGUAGACAGUUGGAGCACUUGAAUUGAAUAGGGUCAUGUCAUGAAGAUAUGUUAUUAAGAUCCCAAACCCAACCAAUUAGUAUGUGAGUCAAUUUCAUGACUACCAGUGGUUGGUCACUCAUGUGGAGUGUUGGACCACUUGUAUAUAAAAACUAUAGUAUAGUACCCCAAUAUCUAAGGCAAACACAGAUUGUCCAAUGCAGCCAAAAGUUAACACACAACUCAGGAGAGUUACACUUCCACCCCACUCUGCUAUAUACAAUAUGUCCCUCAACCAAUCGCAAGUGCUCUUCUACUAGAUAGAUAUAAGAUAUUUGAGUGCGGCCUAGUGAUCAAUGAAGUAGUUGAGAAUUUUAAUGUCUCAAAUUCAAAACAUAUAUUUGGUGAUUAUUUUCAUCUGUUCUAGCUUUGGUAGACAAGAAUUAUCUGGUAUCUGUUGCUGAUGUGAGGUUCAAAUGAUAGGUAUGUUGUAAAUUUAAUUGAGAUACCACGAUUAUUAAAAAAAAAGUAUACUUUUGAUUGGAUUCGCUCCUCCUCUCCAUUUUCUCGAGCUCUUGGAUUAAAGACGUAUGUUAUGGUCCCGUGGACUCAUGGUUAAGAAUGAUAAAUUUUUCAUGUAUUUGCUUUUAGAUUAUUUUUUUUGGCAAAUAUCGUAAUUUAGUAAAAUAUAUUUUUUAUUAAUAAGUACUUAAAUACUUUUCUCUUUUUGCAAUAUAUAUACGAUCGACUCUUUUUUAGUAUUUGAAUAGAAAAAACACACACGCAGGAAUGAGAAAAUAAUUAGAUUCCCAAAAAUCUAAAUCAAUGUGUGAUAUUUGUAAAAGAAAUAAUUAUUUAAUGUUAAAAGUCUAGUGGUCACUGAUAUAUUGAGAAAUUGACUUGUCAAUUGUUAAAAGGCAAAAAGAUAAAGAAGGGAAACCAACAAAUAAUCAAGUAAAGAUUAACUUGAAAUACAAAAACUAAUAAUUGGAAGUUCACAAACAUAGAAACAGAAAAGAAGAAAGAAGUAAAAGCUACUUCUUAUACUAAACUUCGAUUUUUUUUCAACUACUCCCAAAACUAUCAAAUGUCUUAGUUACCUCUCUAAAUUUGCUUAUUUGAUAGUCUUUAGCAUGCGUUCGGAUAUGCAAUUUCAUCAUAAAUUUGAAGUAUUAUUUUAAAUUUUACAAAAAGAAAAAGAAAAAAGCUCAUGCUCGGUGUGUAAAGAUUGUUUAUACUCUAUAAAAGAAUUGUAUCAAAAAAUAACUAGUUACUACUAUUUCUUAACCACAAACAUCUAUUUAUACAAAAGAAUUGAUAGAUUUAUCAGUACGACACCUAAAAAUAUUCUGAUAUCUUAUUUAUAAAUUACGAUUUGUCCAUUUGGUAAAAUUGUAAAAUAAUUGAAGAAAAUUUGUAGUUUUCGACUAAAAUAGCCGCAUUUAUAUGCAAUAUACCGAUAUAAGAUUAAUAGUUAUAUACACAUAUACACUGUUACUUAAUAUAUACAUUGGAAUUUUUCAUCUUCACCAACGAGCUAAAUUUAUUUUGUAAUUGCAACCAGCUCAAACUCCUCUAUACAAUUAAAUUCUGAAUUUCAGAUAUGAGCUUCUUUCUUUGUUUCGAUUCUUUUAAUAUAUUAUUUACUCUGAAAGAUUCACAUUUAUGGCUGAUCAAAUUAUUAAAUUGAGUUUCAAAACUUUUCAAUGGCACAAAAUAUUCAAGACUUUAUUUAUCAAGCAAAUUAUAGUAUGUUGAAAUUCUCACAUUUAUAGAAAAAGCAAAUAACAUCCACCAUCACAUUCACCUUCUUUGAAUAAGAUAAUUUGACUAAAUAGACAUUUUUGUAGUGUAGCAACGAGAUAAGUUGUCUAUAUAAUGUUAAUUGAUCUUUUAGAGGUUGUAUUAUGGACAACUUUCACAUAUAACAAAUAAAAAAUUCAUAUUUGUAUGUUAUAACAAAGUUUGCAUAAUUGUGCUUCAUAGCAAACAUAAACUGUAUAAUUCGCUAUACAUAUACACUUGAAGCAAAUUGUAUAAAAUGAAGUGUAUAGAACAAGAAAGAAAAAGACACUUGGGCAGAUAACUGUAUAAAAACGAAGUGUAUAAAACGAAUUAUUAUUAUAAGUGUAUAGAACGAUUAUAUACAAUUUGAAUUUGUAUAAAAUGAGAAAGAGAGAAAGACAAAAGAGACUUGACAAGGAAUAUACAAUUGAAUCGAAUUGUAUAAAACGAGAAAGAGAGAAAUUAGAUACAAUUUGAAAAUUGUAUAAAACGAGAAAGAGAGAAAGGCAAAAAAUACUGGGCAUGGGAGUAUUUUUAUUGUAUAACUAUAAGUGUAUAGGACGAAAAUAUAUGUACUUGCAUGUGUAUAUAAAAUUUUCUCACGCUUUAUACAAACAGAAACACAAUUUAUACAUUUCGCUUCUGUUUGUAUAAUAUAAGUAAGAAAGGUGAGGGUGGUGAGUGAGAUUUGGGAGAGUGGCGAGCGAGAUCUGGAAGAGGGGAACAAAAAUAUAUGUAUUUAUAUAAUUUUCUCUGCUUUAUACAAUUAGAAAAAAAAUUAUACACUUGUGUUUCUAUAAAAAGUGAGGAAGCUAGCGAGAGAUUGGAGGAGAGUGGCGAGCGAGAUAUUUGGGAGAAAGGCGCCUGACAAUUUUUUUGCAAACGUUUGCUAUGGAGCACAAUUAAAUCAAACUCUAGUUACUCCAUUUAUUUUAGAUUAUUAAUUUGUUAUUAUAUACAAUUUUCCCUCGUAUUAUUUAGGAAUGUUUUUGUACUGCAAACAAAUCCAAUAGCAGAUGUGGACAAGAACAUUUGGCCCUUUGGGCUAUUCAACAAUCACUUUGGAGAAUAUAGUUAUUGGGCCUACACCAAGAUUGGAUUUUUGGGAGUACAUGAUUGCUUGAUGAGAGCCACUAUAAUUUUGAUUGAGUUUUGUAAGGGCUCUUUAAGUAAUUGUAUAGACAAAAAAAAGUUCUUAUUUAUUUCGAUUAAAAUGACUAUAUAUAAUGUAUGAAUAUUGUAUAAUCAUAUAUAAUAGAUGUAUAUUUCAUAUACACUAUUUAUACAUUUUGUAGUAGUUCAUCUUCUUGAGUUGAUUUUUUACUAACUCAAAUCUCCUCUAAACAGUCCCACAACUAUAAAUAUGAGCUCCUCUCGAUAUCUCAAAAUCUUUUGAUAUCUUAUUCAGUUGAAACGAUUCAUAUAUCUUACACCAAAUAUAAAAUGGAGUAGAGUGGGCUUCCAUUGUGUGCCAUAGGCGAAAAUUCUUUUUUUUUUUUAUCUUAUUCUUUGGUCAGACUGGUAUCCCACAAACAUUUCUUUUAAGCAUCGUUCUUUUGCCAUAUUUAGUUGUGAGAUGUCCAUUUAUCUCUUGAUUUUGCUAUGAAAUCUAUCAUAUAUCUCAACAUGUAUUUAAAUUCUAUCUCUGAUGUAUCUAUCAUGUAUAUGUCAUAUAUAUUUGUUAUGUAUCAUAUAUAUAUAUGUAUUUGAGUUGUACAUGGUGUAUCUGAUAUCCAUCUGGAUACAUAUGUAUGUAUUUACUCUUUCACUAUGUAUGUGAUAUAUAUGCAACAUGUAUCUACUCACAAGCAAUUUUCAAUAAUAUUUGUCGACGAUAAGAAUAUUUUAGAAUCAAAAAAUCAACAAAUAGUAUAUACCAAAUUUAAUAGCUUAGAGAUAUUUUAAAUAUUUUCGAUAUAAUAUAUAAUAUAACAUGAUAUAAAAAAUUAGAUCAGAAAAUUUUGAAGUUGGAUUGAUUCACUUCGAAUUGCGGACCCUUCAUUGCACUAGAAUAUUUCGUGAUCCAGGCCGUGUAUUCUUUGUCUACUCAAGGAAAAUGUAUCAUAAUAUUUAUUAAUUUAUAAAAUUAAUUUUUUUAAUCACUUUAAAACUAUAAGUAAAUUAUAUUGAAAAAAAUAAUUAAGGAUAAAUUAGUUUUUCUUUUAAAAAAAGGAAAAUUAUAUGAUUUUCUAAAAAAAUGCGUAAAAGAGAAAUAUGAUAACUAAUAUGAGACGGAAAGAUUAACACGUGAUAAAUUAGGUGAUUUUUUCCUCAUUCAUUCGUGUUCAUACAAUCAAAUCAGCAUUCAUACUCCACUAUACUAAAUACCAUUAGUAUUUCCCUAAAACAAUAAUGUAAAUACAACAUUCAGUACAUUAAUCAAAAGCUAAUUAAACACGCCAAAUUAAAGCUUAAUUAAUAUCCCUCCUUUGUUUUCUCAAUUUAUUGCCAUGAUAAAAUGGAAAUUGAACUUUCACACAUUUAUUGUGCCUUCAACUAUGACAAUGCGGCAGUAUCAGUCAAAUGUCCUGUUUAAUAUC
This 57523-nucleotide long non-coding RNA is filed under the name Solanum lycopersicum (tomato). Its description in RNAcentral is "long non-coding RNA (SLYC_LNC000436)". Lineage: Eukaryota; Viridiplantae; Streptophyta; Magnoliopsida; Solanales; Solanaceae. The record is from RNAcentral.